UCCGUUGGCGCAAAUCAAUCCAGGAGAGGACGAGGUAGCUGCAGCAAAUCAAGGUGGUCAGAUGCAGCCGGCGGACGGCACGGUGGGGCAGCAGAACGGGGCACCGGAUGGAUCGCAGAUGCCGUCCGCGGCUAGUGGCGUUGUUGGAUCUCAGCUCCGCGCGGGGGAUGUUGGUCGGCGUCAGGCAUCCUUCACUCUCGAUGCUGCAUCUAUCAAUCUGGUGGUGUCUGUUGGGAAUAUGGCCAUCUGCCUCGCCAUCCUUGUACUGGUAGUGUCUUCCACCAUGAUGCGUGCGUUUGAUUAAUUGGAUGAAUCUAAGAAGCGUAUGCGUAUGUAGUAGAUGAUCUAUGUCAGGGGUUAAUUAGUGUUAGCAUCGUACGUGGGAGAAGGACUCUGAGACUCGUGGAGCUUUUGGAUGUAUGUUUGGUUCAGUGGAUGCCUAGUGCUAAUGAAAUUUUGGUUUCGAGCUAAUCAUGAACAGUCAAUGACGGUAGUAGUUGCUAUUUCUUGAUUUUUAAAACACCUGCGUGCUGAACGCCUCGCAUGUUGCCCACGUGGCAGGGGUGGGUGGUGGUUGGGUAAGUGAUGUACCGCGAUCCAUCAAAUGUACCGAUGGUACGGUUUCAACCUCCGUCCGUUACCGCACGCCGUACGCGAGCUGGCCAUAUGUAUCAACAGUACCGUACAUUAGUGUGUACGGUCCGCUCCAGAGGCCCACCCACGCGGUAUCGCUCUAUUGGUCCACCUAGCGGGAGCGCGCGCGCCCGACUCGCUAUCGCCGCGCUCUCCAAGAGUCCGGUUUAAGACUUAUGCGUGUCUACGAGUUUAGACUGAGUCCAAGUCGGUUAUUGAUAGCUUAGGGCUGGCCGACGUGUAUAUACAGAUACACAGGGCCUGCAACUUUGUAUCACUAUGGAGAAAAGGAGAAAUAAAGAAAAAGAAUAAGGCACGACAGGUGCCUUUGGCAAAAGUUUUCGUGUGCGCGUGUUCAUCUUGAUUUGAUGUGAUCGAUCCUGUGGGUAGAAUUCCAACAAUUGGUAUCAGAGCAAGGUUCAGGAAUCGAGCGUUUGCCCCGGGGUUGCGACCUAACUAGCGCCUCGGGGCGGGCGAUAUGGUCGCUGGGUGGUGCAGCGACGAGAAGGAGCGGGCGAUAUGGUCGCUGGGUGGUGCAGCGACGAGGACGUGCAGACCGUGGAGUCGUUGGGUGAUGCAGCGACGAGGAGGAUUGGGCGAUCGUCGUUCGGCGGAGCGACAAGGGGGGAGACGGCAGGCUGUCGUUGGCAAGGCGCUGGAAGCAGAUCGUUGACGGGAGCAGUGGUGCCGAGGUGCGGUACUGAAAGAGUCGUCAAGAUCGUCGUCCGCGGGGAUAGAUGAGUUGAAGAGUCGUGCAAGUUAUGUGAUUGGUCGUCGUUGUGUCAGUGAGUCGUCGUCCUCGUCGUCAUGUCCAACUGCUUGUCUAUGUGAGGAUUGUUGAAGAUGAAGCAUGUCAUGUUCGAUGGGCUGUCUGGUGUGGUGUGUAGCACCAAGGGCGAAGACGUGAAGUGGAGAUCAAGCUCAGGCGUAUAGAGGGACGAGGACCAGUGAAGGGGAGCUUCUUCAACGAGGACAUGUCUGUACAUGGGACGGUGUGUGAUCUGUUGGCAUGUAUUACGUUAGGGGUGACCGAUGGUGUUGCCUGGCAGCGUGACUGGGAGUCUGGAUCAUACGUUCAGGAGGAUCAUCAAGUCGCGGGUCUACAACAAGUCAAGAUCAGAAGGAGUACGAGGAAGAUGACAAGUCAAGAUUAGAGGAAGAUUGUUAGCAAUAAUCUUGAUUAGGUUGAUGAUCGCUAGUUAAUUGAGGUACGUGUGCAUGUUGUACAUGCACGUGAAGUGUCAUAGUAGUAUACGAUGUAGUAGGCUGCCGUGUAAUAUAGUAUAUUAGUAGUACGUAUUGGAGUCAACUUCGUGUACUAGUAGGAGCCCAAGAGUCCGGUUUAAGACUUAUGCGUGUCUACGAGUUUAGACUGAGUCCAAGUCAGUUAUUGUUAGCUUUGGGGCUGGCCGAGGUGUAUAUAUAGAUACACAGGGCCUGCAACUUUGUAUCAUUGUGGAGAAAAGGAGAAAUAAAGAAAAAGAAUAAGGCAUGACAGGUGCCUUUGGCAAAAGUUUUCGUGUGCGCGUGUUCGUCUUGAUUUGAUGUGAUCGAUCCUGUGGGUAGAAUUUCAACAACCGUUACACAUAUUUAGGGUUCCUAGGUCAAGUCGCUUUGCUUGUAGAUAAAGAUAUGCUGCUUUUAUCGCUGGAAUGCAGCCCAACUUUGCUGAAUAUAGGGUUGGGAUCUUAAAUGAAGGGUCACUAGUAAACUUCUCAACAAACACGCGCUCAGUCCUGGGCACAGUUUCAUUAAUCAAUCAAUUCAAGUGUUAUACACCUUUGAACUCUUGUGCCUCCAGUGGAAUUUAAGACACUAAAUAAAUGGUUUAAUUCACAUAAAUGCCAAAAAAAAUCAUACAUUUAAAACUAGAGAACAACUUCUUCAGGUAAAGAGCCUCAGUGCUCUGUUUUGAGUUUGACCGCUAUAUUUCAAUCAAGAAUUAUAUGACGAGUAAGAAAACAGUUCCUUUCUCUGGUGAUUGGUACCAUGUUUUGUCGUCAUAUAAACAUUCUGAGUUCAGCUCACAUCUAGUUAAAACAAGUAUCUUUCGAUAAAAAAAUGGAAAGUACAUAAUAUUUUAUAAGAACUUCAUGAAAGGGUAGUUAUUUAAUUUGAUUAUGUUGUAUUAAAGACUAAAUAUCUUCAUCCUUACAUAUAUUACAAGUUCUGGUGUGCAGUGGCGAAGCAUGAAACAAAACCAAGAACGGCCCAAGGCGGGGCAUCUUUUCUUAUUGGGAUAAAUCCAGAACAAAUUCUCAAAGAAAGUCCAGAAAAAACAUGGGUCAUGGCCAUGUUUUGUCCCCAAAAGGAUCCGCCCCUGGUGGUGUGGACACCUGAUUAGCGAAGGCCAGAGCCUUCUGGAAAAGCAUGAAUCUGUUCCUUCACAAAUUGAGCACAAUCAAAACAGGGUUGCUCAUAAUCUAGCUAAUUUUGGUCAUCUGAUGGUAGCACCGCUGUUGGUUGCACCGCACACUGUGCUUUGGAAUUUGUCUGAGUUGACUGUAAUCCUAUUUCAGUGGGAUAAAACCUCACUAUUUCCUUGGCAGAAAAAAGGAAAGAGGCACAUGAGGAGAGUCCAUAAGGAAUAAGAAGGUUACGUAGUCACAUGCCUGUGGGCCAUCUAUCUAUUAAUUAUCACUCCCUCCAUUUCUUUAUAUAAGGUGUAUUUCUUUCCUUUUUAAGUCAAAUAAGUGCAUGUUUGACCGAGUUUUUAGGAAAAUAUAUCAAUAUCCAGAAUACAAAAUUUAUAUCCUCUGAACCAUCAUGAAAAGUUGUUUCAUAUUUUAUAGGUAUUGGAAAUGUUGAUGUUUUCUCAAUAACAAAUUCAAAAUAUAAUAUGAGUUUCAAAUUCGUUUCCAAAUUUCAAAAAAAAAUCAUGAAUUCAAAAAAUGUUUGCUUAAUGAAAAAUGGUCAUCUAUUUAAAAAAAUCAAGUAUUUGAAAUUUUUUCAUUAGUUUUAAAAAAUCUAUUUGAUUUGCAAAAAGUGUUCCCUAAUUCAAAAUAAUGGUUUUCGAUUCAAAAUUUAUUCAUGAAUUUCAGAAAGAUGUUUUUCGAUUCAAAAAGUGUUCAUGAAUUGAAAGAAAUGUUCAUGAAUUAUAUAUAUUUUUUAAUUUGAAAAAAGUUUGAGAAUUUAAGAAAUAUUGACUAAUUCCAAAAUUAUUCAUGAAUUAAAAAACUGUUAUUCAAUUUUGUCAAAUGCUCGCAAAUGGUUUUUGAAAUCAUGAAUACAAAAAGUUUCAUGGAUUCAUGAAAGUUCGUGCAAUUGAGAAAGUACAUGAAUUUUGAAAAAGUACUAAAUCUUAUAUUGUGUUCAUGGAUGUAAGAACUUCUGAAUUCAAAAAAUAUUGGUGAAUUAUUAGAAAAGAAAAAUAUGAAAAGGAAAAAUGAAAGAAAAAUGAAAAAGACAGAACAAAACAAAGAUAAUAUAAACAGAGAAAAAACGAGAUAGUCACAGUCGAAGCCCGUAUGUUGGCCGGCCCAUGCAACGUCACAAGUACGCAAGAGCUACACGUUUCCACGGUAUUCAUUGCGGUACGCAGGAACUAGGAACGGCAGACCAGGGUAUAUCUCACAAAUAAGAGUGAUUUAGCUCUGACAGGCCACAUCUCCUCAUGGCCAGGCAGGGCAACCCAUGUAGUGGCAGAGGAGCUCGUGAUGCUUCGCUCGGCGACUGGCAGCUCGUUGUAGAUGUUGCUGUGAUGUGGUUCCGAACAAAAUUCGCGUCUUUCUCUGGCGUCUUCCUCGCGAGUCCAUACUGAUAGGCGAGCUACUCCACCACCGCAACAUGCCAGCGUCGCCAGCGUGCCCCCUGUGGUGGUGCUGACUCGUGGCGGCACGCUUUGCUUGAUUGCGUGAUGUACGUACUGCAGUGUGUGGGCGCUUUCUUGGGAGCUAGUGGGGAAAAUGUGCCUGGACAGGAACCCGAAGGCCUCUAUGAAAGAUGAAUUUAUGCUGCCUCAGAUUGCAAGAUUGUCAUCCAUGAUAUCAAGCAUAAGCGUGUGGCAGUUUAUGGCGCGACUAUCUAACAAAUCUUAGAUCUUUCUAGUCUUUCUACUAGUUGCUCUUUUAUUCAUGAAUUAACGAGGUCGAAUAUGCUCACAAUUUAGCGAUGCAUACUCUGUAGGUUGGCUGCCAUGUUGGUUAGGUAACUCUGAUGAACUUACUUUCGUCGCGGUAAAUAUUGUGAUGUGUUAUUUAAAGGCUCCGUGAGAUUGUCUAUAAAAAGAUAAGGAGUUGGUGGUACGCAUGUGACCUGGAUAUAGGCAUGCUAAAAAAGUAGAGAUUAUGGUUGUUGAACAUGUGUAUAUAUGCAUAGGUCUGAGUUCUGUAUGCAGUACCUGUACUAUCUGUCUUCCUCUGUAUGUACGUGUAUCUUAGGAGACAACAUACCGGUCGCAUCCAUUGUAUCUAUAUAUAUGUGCCUAGUGCACGAUCAAUCAAUUAUCGAUGCACCAAAUCAUUCCCUACAUGGUAUCUAUUGAAAGACGAUCUUCCAACUUCGCUAACCCUAGCCGCCGCCUCGGGCCGCCGCCGCCGCCGCGACCUCCUGCCGCCGCCGCCGCCCCAAGCCGCCGCCACUACCCCUCCUCCCCGCGCGCCCUCUCCCCGCCACACGCCUUCCCCUUCACGCCGCGCUGCCCCUUCCCGCCGCGCCGCCUCUCCUCAGCCGCGCCGCCGCCUCCCUCCCCACCAUUCCGCCGCCAUGUCGUCCAAUGCCUCCACCUACUCCAACCCCUUCGCCGUCGACCCUACCGAGAUCCGCAACAUCAACGUCCAUGCCUGCGUCCCCGUGAUCCUCGACGCCUCCAACUCCACGUACUUUGCGUGGAAGACGUACUUCACGCUACUCUUCCGCGAGAACAACCUCGUGGAUCACGUGGAUGGCACUGUGGACUCCCACGCCAUGGUGGACGACGCCGAGUGCACCGCGAUCGACGCCAUGAUCAUCCGGUGGUUCUUCACCAUCAUCUCCAAGGACUUGUUCCACACGGUCGUGAGCGCCGGCGACGACGCCCGCGCCAUGCGGGUCAAGCUGAACGGCCUCUUCAUCGACAAUAAGCUUCAGCGCCGCGUUUUUUUGCAGCAGGAAUUUUUUGACUGACACCAGGAUGAACAGUCCAUUGAUGACUACUGCCGCCGCCUGAAGACGUCGGCGGAUGAGCUCCGUGACAUUGGAGCCAAGGUGGACGACGACCUCCUCCUCAGAACGCUCACCGUCGGCCUCAACGAGGACUUCGGCAACACGACCUCCAACCUCACCUUGAUGCCGGAGCCCUCCUUCCCAAGUUUGUGGCGUACUUGAGGUUGGAGGAGCGCCAGAUGAAGGGGGUCAAGAAGCGCGUGCAGCACCAAGCCCUCGCCGCCGGCACCUCACGCGGCGCCCCUCCGGCCGCCCCACCCGCUCCGCACCAGCAACCGCCGCACCCCCCCCCCUCCCGCGCGCCUCCGGGGUACUUCCCCCUACCGCCCGCCCCUCCCGCCCCUCCUGCUGCCCCCCAGCAGCCGGGUGGCGGGCGCCGCGGCAACCGCCGCGGGGGCGGCAGCAAGCAGCAACAGGCGCCGGGAGGGGCCCCUCAUCAGCAGCAGCAACAGGUGACUCCCCCAUGGACGUACGGCACCAACUCGUGGACCGGCUCGUCCACGCGUACUCCAUGCCGGUCCUUCGGGCUNNNNNNNNNNNNNNNNNNNNNNNNNNNNNNNNNNNNNNNNNNNNNNNNNNNNNNNNNNNNNNNNNNNNNNNNNNNNNNNNNNNNNNNNNNNNNNNNNNNNNNNNNNNNNNNNNNNNNNNNNNNNNNNNNNNNNNNNNNNNNNNNNNNNNNNNNNNNNNNNNNNNNNNNNNNNNNNNNNNNNNNNNNNNNNNNNNNNNNNNNNNNNNNNNNNNNNNNNNNNNNNNNNNNNNNNNNNNNNNNNNNNNNNNNNNNNNNNNNNNNNNNNNNNNNNNNNNNNNNNNNNNNNNNNNNNNNNNNNNNNNNNNNNNNNNNNNNNNNNNNNNNNNNNNNNNNNNNNNNNNNNNNNNNNNNNNNNNNNNNNNNNNNNNNNNNNNNNNNNNNNNNNNNNNNNNNNNNNNNNNNNNNNNNNNNNNNNNNNACGGCGCCGCCGCCGCACCGGCCUAUGGACCGCGGCCGCCAACGGCGCCGCCGCUCCGUCCUUUAGGGAUGCUCCCUCGCCGGCCUACAGAGGGUUCUACCCUCCUCGGGUGCCGCCGCCGUGGGACCCGGCCUUGCUCGCUGCACUGCACUCCGCCCCGUCACCUAGUUCCUAUGGUGGCAGUGGUGACUGAUACAUGGACUCGGGCGCCACUGCUCACAUGACUGCUCAUUCCGAUAACCUCACGUCUGCCUCUCCCGUUCAUACCCCCACCCCUAUCACCGUUGGUAACGGUGCCUCCCUACCCAUUACUCACGUCGGUCAUAUGUCUUUUCCUUCUACUUCUACUCUUGUGCCUAUGUCUAGCGUUCUUGUGUCUCCUGACUUAGUAACUAAUCUCGUUUCUGUUUGCCGCCUUUCUCGUGAGAAUCCUAUAGCUGUUGAUUUUGACGAUAUCGGUUUUUCUGUGCAGAACGCCCGUACACGGAUGGUGCUCCACCGAUGUGAUAGACCGGACGAGCUUUAUCCAGUGCAUCCCUCCGGCGCCACCACCACGCGUCGCCCUGUCCCCUUCGCUGCCAGUGUCGAUUUUUGGCAUGCCCGUCUCGGUCAUCCCAACUCUACUGUUAUGCGUCAGAUUCUUCAGAGUUUUUACUUCUCAUGUAAUAAGGUCGACAAUCACACUUGUGAGGCUUGCCGUCUUGGCAAGCACAUUCAUCUUCCCUUUAGCGAGUCUACAAACGUUUCCACCUUUCCGUUUCAGUUAUUACAUAGUGAUGUUUGGACGUCCCCGGUUGCUAGCAACACGGGCUAUUUAUACUAUCUGGUGAUAUUGGAUGAUUUUACUCAUUAUGUGUGGACAUUCCCUCUCCGUCGCAAGUCCGACGCUCUUGCCACACUCACCGCCUUUUAUUCAUAUGUCACCACACAGUUCGGUCGUCCUAUUCUCGCCUUGCAAACUGACAACGGCAAGGAGUUUGAAAAUGUCGCCGUUCGCAAUUUACUUGCGUCCCACGGCACCAUCUUUCACCUCACCUGUCCCUACACGUCUCAGCAGAAUGGUCGCGCCGAGCGCGUCCUUCGCACGCUUAAUGACUAUGUCUGCACGUUGCUCUUCCACUCCUACGUGCCCUCGCGGUUCUAGCCGGACGCGCUCGCGACCGCCAGCCUCCUCAUUAACAUUCGCCCCUGUCGUUCCCGCUGGAACUACACCCCUCACCAGCUCCUCUUCAGUGCGGUUCCAUCUUAUGAUGGUCUUCGCAUUUUCGAGUGUCUCUGUUAUCCUAGCACCGCGUCCACUGCUCCUCACAAACUCGCGCCCCGGUCACUUCCUUGCAUUUUCCUUGGCUAUCCUCCCAACACCAAAGUUUACCAGUGCUAUGAUCCAGUCUUCACUGCGUUUUCACUUCGCGGCAUGUGUACUUUGAUGAGCUCGUGCUCCCGUUUCAGCAGGUACCGUCACCUUCCUAGUCUCAUGCGACGCGGUUCGUCCCUGCCUCCACCUCUGGCGGACCGCCCGGCCGCGCUCCGGGUUCGGCCCUGCCUGUGCUUCCCGUGCCGGCGGCCCCUGGCGCUGUGGCCCCUGCCGCGGCCCCUGACAUAGCGGCCUCCUCGGCCGCCUCCACCGCGGACCCUGUCGCGGCCCCCGUCGCCGCGGCCCCUGACGUCGCGGCCCCUAUCGCCGCGGUGCCUGAAGGAAAUAUGCCCUAGAGGCAAUAAUAAAGUUAUUAUUUAUUUCCUUAUAUCAUGAUAAAUGUUUAUUAUUCAUGCUAGAAUUGUAUUAACCGGAAACAUAAUACAUGUGUGAAUACAUAGACAAAACAUAGUGUCACUAGUAUGCCUCUACUUGACUAGCUCGUUUAUCAAAGAUGGUUAUGUUUCCUAGCCAUGGACAAAAGAGUUGUCAUUUGAUUAGUGGGAUCACAUCAUUAGGAGAAUGAUGUGAUUGACAUGACCCAUUCAGUUAGCCUAGCACUUGAUCGUUUAGUAUAUUGCUAUUGCUUUCUUCAUGACUUAUACAUGUUCCUGUAACUAUGAGAUUAUGCAACUCCCGUUUACCGGAGGAACACUUUGGGUGCUACCAAACGUCACAACGUAACUGGGUGAUUAUAAAGGAGUACUACAGCUGUCUCCAAAGGUACAUGUUGGGUUGGCGUAUUUCGAGAUUAGGUUUUGUCACUCCGAUUGUCGGAGAGGUAUCUCUGGGCCCUCUCGGUAAUGCACAUCACUAUAAGCCUUGCAAGCAAUGUGACUAAUGAGUUAGUUGCGAGAUAAUGUAUUACAGAACGAGUAAAGAGACUUGCCGGUAAUGAGAUUGAACUAGGUAUUAAGAUACCGACGAUCAAAUCUCAGGCAAGUAACAUACCGAUGACAAAGGGAACAACGUAUGUUGUUAUGCGGUUUGACCGAUAAAGAUCUUCGUAGAAUAUGUGGGAGCCAAUAUGAGCAUCCAGGUUCCGCUAUUGGUUAUUGACCGGAGACAUGUCUCGGUCAUGUCUACAUUGUUCUCGAACCCGUAGGGUCCGCACGCUUAAGGUUUUGAUGACAGUUAUAUUAUGAGUUUAUGAGUUUUGAUGUACCGAAGGAGUUCGGAGUCCCGGAUGAGAUCGGGGACAUGACGAGGAGUCUCCAAAUGGUCGAGACAUAAAGAUCGAUAUAUUGGACGACUAUAUUCGGACUUCGGAAAGGUUCCGAGUGAUUCGGGUAUUUUUCGGAGUACCGGAGAGUUACGGGAAUUCGUCGGCGAGUAUAUGGGCCUUAUUGGGCCAUACGGGAAUAGAGGAGAGAGGCCAAAAGGAAGGAGGCCUGCGCCCCCCCUCUGGUCCGAAUUGGACAAGGGGCGCAGCCCUUUUUUCCUUAUUCCUCUCCCCCUCUUUCCCCUUCUCCUACUCCAACAAGGAAGGAGGGAGUCCUACUCUCGGUGGGAGUAGGACUCCCCUUGGCGCGCCCCCUUUCUAGGCCGGCCGCGCCCUCCCACCUUGCUCCUUUAUAUACGGGGGCAAGGGGGCACCUCUAGGCACAACAACAAUUGAUCCGUUGGAUCUCUUAGCCGUGUGUGGUGCCCCCCUCCACCAUAGUCCACCUCGAUAAUAUCAUAGCGGUGCUUAGGCGAAGCCCUGCGACGGUAGAACAUCAAGAUCGUCACCACGCCGUCGUGCUGACGAAACUCUUCCCCGACACUUUGCUGGAUCGGAGUCCGGGGAUCUUCAUCAAGCUGAACGUGUGCUAAAACUCGGAGGUGCCGUAGUUUCGGUGCUUGAUCGGUCAGGCCGUGAAGACGUACGACUACAUCAACCGCGUUGUGCUAACGCUUCCGCUUUCGGUCUACGAGGGUACGUGGACAAUACUCUCCCCUCUCGUUGCUAUGCAACACCAUGAUCUUGCGUGUGCGUAAAUUUUUUUUUUAAAUUACUACGUUCCCCAACAGUGGCAUCCGAGCCUAGGUUUUAUGCGUUGAUGUUAUAUGCACGAGUAGAACACAAGUGAGUUGUGGGCGAUAUAAGUUAUACUGCUUACCAGCAUGUCAUACUUUGGUUCGACGGUAUUGUUGGAUGAAGCGGCCCGGACCGACAUUACGCGUACGCUUACGCGAGACUAGUUCUACCGACGUGCUUUGCACACAGGUGGCUGGCGGGUGUCAGUUUCUCCAACUUUAGUUGAACCGAGUGUGGCUACGCCCGGUCCUUGUGAAGGUUAAAACAGCACCAACUUGACAAACUAUCGUUGUGGUUUUGAUGCGUAGGUAAGAACGGUUCUUGCUAAGCCCGUAGCAGCCACGUAAAAUUUGCAACAACAAAGUAGAGGACGUCUAACUUGUUUUUGCAGGGCAUGUUGUGAUGUGAUAUGGUCAAGACGUGAUGCUAUAUUUUAUUGUAUGAGAUGAUCAUGUUUUGUAACCGAGUUAUCGGCAACUGGCAGGAGCCAUAUGGUUGUCGCUUUAUUGUAUGCAAUGCAAUCGCCCUGUAAUGCUUUACUUUAUCACUAAGCGGUAGCGAUAGUCGUAGAAGCAUAAGAUUGGCGAGACGACAACGAUGCUACGAUGGAGAUCAAGGUGUCGCGCCGGUGAUGAUGGUGAUCAUGACGGUGCUUCGGAGAUGGAGAUCACAAGCACAAGAUGAUGAUGGCCAUAUCAUAUCACUUAUAUUGAUUGCAUGUGAUGUUUAUCCUUUAUGCAUCUUAUCUUGCUUUGAUUGACGGUAGCAUUUUAAGAUGAUCUCUCACUAAUUAUCAAGAAGUUUUCUCCCUGAGUAUGCAUCAUUGCCAAAGUUCGUCGUGCCCAGACACCACAUGAUGAUCGGGUGUGAUAAGCUCAACGUCCAUCUACAACGGGUGCAAGCCAGUUUUGCACACGCAGAAUACUCAGGUUAAACUUGACGAGCCUAGCAUAUGCAGAUAUGGCCUCGGAACACGGAGACCGAAAGGUCGAACGUGAAUCAUAUAGUAGAUAUGAUCAACAUAAUGAUGUUCACCAUUGAAAACUACUCCAUCUCACGUGAUGAUCGGUUAUGGUUUAGUUGAUUUGGAUCACGUGAUCACUUAGAUGACUAGAGAGAUGUCUGUCUGAGUGGGAGUUCUUAAGUAAUAUGAUUAAUUGAACUUAAAUUUAUCAUGAACUUAGUCUUGGUAGUAUUUUGCAAAUUAUGUUGUAGAUAAAUAGCUUGCGUUGUUGCUUUCAUAUGUUUAUUUUGAUAUGUUCCUAGAGAAAAUUGUGUUGAAAGAUGUUAGUAGUAAUGAUGCUGAUUGAAUCCGUGAUCUGAGGUUUAUCCUCAUUGCUGCACAGAAGAAUUAUUUCCUUAAUGCACCGCUAGGUGACAGACCUAUUGCAGGAGCAGAUGCAGACGUUAUAAACGUCUGGCUAGCUCAAUAUGAUGACUACUUGAUAGUUUAGUGCACCAUGCUUAACGGCUUAGUAUCGGGACUUCAAAGACGUUUUGAACGUCAUAGACCAUAUGAAAUGUUCCAGGAGUUGAAGUUAAUAUUUCAAGCAAAUACCCGAGUUGAGAGAUAUGAAGUCUCCAACAAGUUCUAUGGCUAAAAGAUGGAGGAGAAUCACUCAACUAGUGAGCACGUGCUCAGAUUGUCUGGGUACUACAAUCGCUUGAAUCAAGUGGGAGUUAAUCUUCCAGAUAAGAUAGUGAUUGACAGAGUUCUCUAGUCACCAUCACCAAGUUAGUAGAACUUUGUGAUGAACUAUAGUAUGCAAGGGAUGACGAAAAUGAUUCCCGAGCUCUUCGUGAUGUUGAAAUCAACGAAGGUAGAAAUCAAGAAAGAGUAUCAAGUGUUGAUGGUUGACAAGAUCACUAGUUUCAAGAAAAGGGCAAAGGGAAAGAAAGGGGAACUUCAAGUAGAAUGACAAGCAAGUUGUUACUCCCACGAAGAAGCCCAAAGCUGAACCAAAGCCUGAAACUGAGUGCUUACACUGCAAAGGAAAUGGUCACUGGAAACGGAAAUACCCUGAAUAUUUGGUGGAUAAGAAGGAUGGCAAAGUGAACAAAGGUAUAUUUGAUAUACAGGUUAUUGAUGUGUACUUUACUAGUGUUUAUAGUAGCCCCUGAGUAAUACUUGUUCGGUUGCUAAAUAUUAGUAACUCAAAACAGGAGUUACAGAAUAAACAGAGACUAGUUGAGGGUGAAGUGACGAUGUGUGUUGGAAGUGGUUCCAAGUUUGAUAUGAUCGUCAUCUCACACUCCCUAUACUUUCAGGAUUAGUGUUAAACCUAAAUAAAUGUUAUUUGGCGUUUGCGUUGAGCAUGAAUAUGAUUUGAUCAUGUUUAUUGCAGUACGGUUAUUCAUUUAAAAUCAGAGAAUAAUUGUUAUUUUGUUUACAUGAAUAAAGCCUUCAAUGGUCAUACACCCAAUGAAAAUAGUUUGUUGGAUCUCGAUCGUAGUGAUACGCAUAUUCAUAAUAUUGAUGCCAAAAGAUGUAAAGUUGAUAAUGAUAGUGCAACUUAUUUGUGGCACUGCCGUUUGGGUCAUAUCGGUGUAAAGCGCAUGAAGAAACUCCAUGAAGAUGGAUUUUUGGAAUCACUUGGUUAUGAAUCAUUUGAUGCUUGCGAACCGUGCCUUUUGAGCAAGAUGACUAAAACUCUGUUUUCCGGAACAAUGGAACGAGCUAGUGACUUAUUGGAAAUAAUACAUACUGAUGUAUGCGGUCCAAUGAGUAUUGAUGCUCGUGGCUGGUAUCGUUAUUUUCUGACCUUCACAAGAUGAUUUGAGAAGAUAUGAGUAUAUCUACUUAAUGAAACACAAGUCUGAAACAUUUGAAAAGUUCAAAGGAUUUCAGAGUGAAGUGCAGAAUCAUCGUAACAAGAAAAUAAAAGUUUCUACGAUCUAAUCGUGGAGUAAAAUAUUUGAGUUACGAGUUUGGCCUUCAUAUAAAACAAUGUGAAAUAGUUUCACAGUUCACACCACCUGGAACACUAUAGCGCUAUGGUUUGUCCGAACAUCGUAACCGCACUUUAUUGGAUAUUGUACGAUCUAUGAUGUCUCUUAUCGAUUUACCACUAUCAUUUUGGGAUUAUGCAUUAGAGACAAUUGCAUUCACUUUAAAUAGGGCACCAUCAAAAUCCGUUGAGAUGACGCCUUAUAAACUGUGGUUUGGCAAGAAACCAAAGUUGUCGUUUCUUAAAGUUUGGGAUUGCGAUGCUUAUGCGAAAAAGUUUCAACCUGAUAAGCUCGAACCUAAAUCGAAAAAGUGCGUCUUCAUAGAAUACCCAAAGGAAACUGUUGGGUACACCUUCUAUCACAGAUCCGAAAGCAACAUUAGUUGCUAAGAUGGAUCCUUUCUAGAGAAGAAGUUUCUCUCGAAAGAAGUGAGUGGGAGGAAAGUAGAACUUGAUGAGGUAACUGUACCUACUCCUUUGUUGGAAAGUAGUUCAUCACAGAAAUCAGUUCUAGUGAUGCCUACACCGAUUAGUGAGGAAGUUAAUGAUGAUGAUCAUGAAGCUUCAGAUCAAGUUACGACCGAACCUCGUAGGUCUUCCAGAAUAAGAUCCGCACCAAAGUGGUACGGUAAUCCCGUUCUAAAAGUCAUGUUACUAAACCACGAUGAACCUACGAACUAUGAGGAAGCGAUGAUGAGCCCAGAUUCCGCGAAAUGGCUUGAGGCCAUGAAAUCUGAGAUAGGAUCCAUGUAUGAGAACAAAGUAUGGACUUUGAUUGACUUGCUCAAUGACCAGCAAGCCCUGUUAAAUAAAUGGAUAUUCAAGAGGAAGACGGACACUCAUAGUAGUGUUACUAUCUACAAAGCUCGACUUUUUGCAAAAGGUUUUUGACAAGUUCAAGGUGUUGAAUAUGAUGAAAUUUUCUCACUCGUAAUGAUGCUUAAGUCUGUCCAAAUCAUGUUAGCAAUUGUCACAUUUUAUGAAAUCUGGCAAAUGGAUGUCAAAACUGCAUUCCUUAAAUGGAUAUUUCUUAAAGAAGUGAUGUAUAUGAUACAACCAGAAGGUUUUGUCAAUUCUAAAAGUGCUAACAAAAUGUGCAAGCUCCAGCAAUCCAUCAAUGGACUGGUGCAAGCAUCUCGGAGUUGGAAUAUAAGCUUUGAUGAGUUGAUCAAAGCAUAUAGUUCUAUACAGACUUAUGGUGAAGCCUGUAUUUACAAUAAAGUGAGUGGGAGCACUACCGCCUUUCUGAUAAAUAUAUGUGAGUAACAUAUUGUUGAUCAGAAAUGAUGUAGAAUUUUUCUGGAAAGCAUAAAGGAGUAUUUGAAAGGAGUUCUUUAAAAGAAAGAUCUCAGUAAAGCUACUUACGUAUUGAGCAUCAAGAUCUAUUGAGAUAGAUCAAGACGCUUGAUAAGUUUUUCAAUAAGUACAUACCUUGUCAAGAUUUUGAAAUAGUUCAAAAUGGAACAGUCAAAGAAAGAGUUCUUGCCUGUGUUGCAAAUGUGUGAAAUUGAGUAAAGACUCAAAUCCCGACCACGGCAGAAAAUAGAAAAGAGAAUGAAAGUCAUUCCCUAUGCCUCAGUCAUAGGUUCGAUAAAGUAUGCUAUGUACCAGACCUAUUGUAUACCUUGCUCUGAAUUUGGCAAGGGAGUACAAUAGUGAUCUAGAAGUAGAUCACUGGACAUUGGUCAAAAAUUAUUCUUAGAGAAAUAAGGAGAUGUUUUUCGAUUAUGGAGGUGAUAAAAGAGCCCGUCGUAAAAAGUUACAACGAUGCAAGCUUUUACACCAAUCCAGAUGAUUCUAAGUCUCAAUCUAGAUACAUAUUGAAAGUGGGAGCAAUCAGCUAGAGUAGCUCCGUGCAGAGCAUUAUGGACAUAGAAUAUUUGCAAAAUACAUACGACUCUGAAUAUGACAGACCCGUUGACUAAACUUCUCUCACAAGCAAAACAUGAUCAUACCUUAGUACUCUUUGGGUGUUAAUCACAUAACGAUGUGAACUAGAUUAUUGACUCUAGUAAACCCUUUGGGUGUUGAUCAUAUGGCAAUGUGAACUAUGGGUAUUAACACAUACAGAUGUGAAUAUUGGUGUUAAAUCACAUGGCGAUGUGAACUAGAUUAUUGACUCUAGUACAAGUGGGAGACUGAAGGAAAUAUGCCCUAGAGGCAAUAAUAAAGUUAUUAUUUAUUUCCUUAUAUCAUGAUAAAUGUUUAUUAUUCAUGCUAGAAUUGUAUUAACCGGAAACAUAAUACAUGUGUGAAUACAUAGACAAACAUAGUGUCACUAGUAUGCCUCUACUUGACUAGCUCGUUUAUCAAAGAUGGUUAUGUUUCCUAGCCAUGGACAAAAGAGUUGUCAUUUGAUUAAUGGGAUCACAUCAUUAGGAGAAUUAUGUGAUUGACAUGACCCAUUCCGUUAGCCUAGCACUUGAUCGUUUAGUAUAUUGCUAUUGCUUUCUUCAUGACUUAUACAUGUUCCUGUAACUAUGAGAUUAUGCAACUCCCAUUUAUCGGAGGAACACUUUGGGUGCUACCAAACGUCACAACGUGACUGGGUGAUUAUAAAGGAGUACUACAUGUGUCUCCAAAGGUACAUGUUGGGUUGGCGUAUUUCGAGAUUAGGUUUUGUCACUCCGACUGUCGGAGAGGUAUGUCUGGGCCCUCUCGGUAAUGCACAUCACUAUAAGCCUUGCAAGCAAUGUGACUAAUGAGUUAGUUGCGAGAUGAUGUAUUACAGAACGAGUAAAGAGACUUGCCGGUAAUGAGAUUGAACUAGGUAUUAAGAUACCGACGAUAAAAUCUCAGGCAAGUAACAUACCGAUGACAAAGGGAACAACGUAUGUUGUUAUGCGGUUUGACCGAUAAAGAUCUUCGUAGAAUAUGUGGGAGCCAAUAUGAGCAUCCAGGUUCCGCUAUUGGUUAUUGACCGGAGACAUGUCUCGGUCAUGUCUACAUUGUUCUCGAACCCGUAGGAUCCGCACGCUUAAGGUUUUGAUGACAGUUAUAUUAUGAGUUUAUGAGUUUUGAUGUACCGAAGGAGUUCGGAGUCCCGGCUGAGAUCGGGGACAUGAUGAGGAGUCUUGAAAUGGUCAAGACGUAAAGAUCGAUAUAUUGGACGACUAUAUUCGGACUUCGGAAAGGUUCCGAGUGAUUCGGGUAUUUUUCGGAGUACCGGAGAGUUACGAGAAUUCGCCGGGGAGUAUAUGGGCCUUAUUGGGCCAUACGGGAAUAGAGGAGAGAGGCCAAAAGGAAGGAGGCCUGCGCCUCCCCCUCUGGUCCGAAUUGGACAAGGGGCGCAACCCUUUUUUCCUUAUUCCUCUCCCCCUCUUUCCCUUUCUCCUACUCCAACAAGGAAGGAGGGAGUCCUACUCCCGGUGGGAGUAGGACUCCCCUUGGCGCGCCCCCUUUCUAGGCCGGCCGCGCCCUCCCCCCUUGCUCCUUUAUAUACAGGGUCAGGGGGGCACCUCUAGGCACAACAACAAUUGAUCCCUUGGAUCUCUCAGCCGUGUGCAGUGCCCCCCUCCACCAUAGUCCACCUCGAUAAUAUUGUAGCGGUGCUUAGGCGAAGCCCUGCGACGGUAGAACAUCAAGAUCGUCCCCACGCCGUCGUGCUGACGAAACUCUUGCCCGACACUUUGCUGGAUCGGAGUCCGGGGAUCGUCAUCGAGCUGAACGUGUGCUAAAACUCGGAGGUGCCGUAGUUUCGGUGCUUGAUCGGUCGGGCCCUGAAGACGUACGACUACAUCAACCGCGUUGUGCUCACGCUUUCGCUGUCGGUCUACGAGGGUACGUGGACAAUACUCUCCCCUCUCGUUGCUAUGCAUCACCAUGGUCUUGCGUGUGCGUAGGAAAUUUUUUGAAAUUACUACGUUCCCCAACAGUGCCCAACGUCGCGGCCCCCGUCGUCGUGGCCCCAUCGGCCGGCCCCGCCGCGGCUCCCACGGCUGGCCCCACGGCCCCCACUGCGGCCCCGCCACGGCCACUGCCGUGACCCCCAUCGCCGCGGCUCCCUCGGCGGCUCCCGUCGCCGGGGCCGCACCCCUCACCGGUGUGGUCACUCGGGCUCGGACUGGGACACUGUGUCCCAACACGCGCUACCCGUUGGACGAGUACGCGUGCGCGGCUUCUACCUCGACGCCGUCUCUGCUCCCCACCUCCACUCGCGCAGCCCUUCGGGAUCCGAACUGGCUAGCUGCGAUGAGUGAGGAGUUUGACGCCCUGCAGCGCAACUGUACGUGGCAGCUUGUCCUGCGGUCACCCUGUGCCAAUGUGAUCACUGGCAAGUGGGUCUUUCACUACAAGACUCGCCCCGACGGUUCUCUCGAGCGCUACAAGGCGCAUUGGGUGGUGCGCGGCUUUCGCCAGCGCGCCUUCGCGGAGUUCACCGACACCUUCGCCCCGGUUGUCAAACCAGGCACGAUUCGCGUUGUUCUCCAGCUUGUUGUUUCUCGCGCUUGGCCUGUCCACCAGCUCGAUGUGUCUAAUGCUUUCUUGCAUGGCCAUCUCGACGAGCAGGUGUUCUGUCAGCAGCCGUCUGGUUUCGUCGACACCGACUAUCCGGACCACGUGUGCCUGCUCUCCCGGUCUCUCUACGGGUUGAAGCAGGCACCUCGGGCCUGGUACCAGCGGAUCGCGGCCUUCCUCCAGCAGCAGGGGUUCCGGUCCACACGGUCCGAUGCCUCCCUGUUUGUCUACCACCAGGGCCCCGCCACCGUGUACCUCCUAUUAUACUUCGAUGACAUCAUCCUGAUUGCGUCCUCGCCAUCGCUUUUUGAGUAGAUCACAGCUCGCCUCGGCACCGAGUUCGCCCUCAAGGACUUGGGGGUUCUCGACUACUUCCUUGGCAUCGAAGUCGUGCGCCGGGCUACUGGCUUCUUCCUGCACCAGCAGAAGUACGCCUCCGAGCUUCUGGAGCGAACGGGGAUGCUUAACUGCAAGCCUGCUUCCACGCUGUCGAUACGAAGGCUAAGGUAUCCGCCGUCGAGGGCUCUCCGGCGUCCGACGCUCCCUUCUACCGCUCCAUCGUCGGUGCGCUUCAGUACCUCACACUAACGCGUCCGGACAUUCAGUAUGCUGUCCAACAAGUGUGCCUUCACAUGCAUGCUCCUCGUGACACCCAUUCGGCUCUCGUGAAACGUAUACUUCGGUACAUACGUGGCACCACAACCAUGGGUCUCACCCUGACGGCCUCGCCGGACACCAGCCUUGUCGCCUACUCCGAUACCGACUGGGCUGGGUGUCCCGAAACUCGACGCUCCACUUCUGGCUACUGCGUCUACCUCGGGCCCUCUCUGAUUUCGUGGUCGUCUAAACGACAACCCACGGUCUCACGAUCGAGCGCCAAGGCCGAGUAUCGGGCCGUGGCCAAGGCCGUUGCGGAGUGUUCAAGGCUACGAUAGCUACUUCAGGAGUUGCUAUGUGAGGUCACCAAGGCGACGCUCGUCUACUGUGAUAAUGUCUCCGCGUUGUACCUCGAUGCCAAUCCUGUCCAUCACCGACGGACGAAGCACAUUGAGCUCGACAUCCACUUCGUCCGGGAGCACGUUGCACUUGGUCGUGUUCGUGUUCUACAUGUGCCCACCGAUCAGCUGUUCGCCGAUGUGAUGACGAAGGGACUACCCACCUCGACUUUUGAGGGCUUUCGGUCCAGUCUUUGCGUCACCGGGGACGCUUCGACUGCGGACGGGUGUUGAACAUAUGUACAUGUACGUAGGUCUGGGUUCUGUAUGCAGUACCUGUAGUAUAUGUCUCCCUCUGUAUGUACGUGUAUCUUAGGAGACAAGAUACCGGUCCUAACCCUUGUACCUAUAUAUAUGUACCUAGUGCACGAUCAAUUAAUUAUCGAUGCACCAAAUCAUUCUCUAUAAUUGUGAUGGAUUAGUUCGGAAAGAGCAUAUGAAAAGAAAUGGCAACCUUUGUAAAUCGAUCUGUACUAUGACUCAGCCUGAGCAUGAUUUCUUUUUACGAUGCUGCAGAUCCAACCGUACGUACAUUCAUAGAAUAAAGUGCGACACAAUCAUUGGAUUGACAAUCCUACCAAGACCGGACACGAGGUGCCCUUUGUGCAGUAGUCCGUUCCCUAUCGAGCCUACGAAGUAAUAAGAUGCAACUGAAUUAUGAUGAAACGAGGAGGGUGGUACUGACAUGAGUCAAGGAUGCAUCUAGCGAUUUGAGUCACUCGGGGACAACAACAAUGUGGACUGCAGAGGUUCUUGCCGCAUCCAUUCCUUGCGCAUGUUUCCCUCGCGACCACACGCUCCUUCGGCCAACAUCUAUUGAGCCAUAUCCUCUUCUGUUUGUUUUUCCACGAGUAUUUGUUUAUCCCGAGACCUACCAUUCCCAAACAAUUCCCUCACAUGUAUAUGUCUUACUACCUCGAUCGUCUAACAUACUAGGGAUUUUUUUUUCCGAAUAUAACAUACUAGGGAAUUCAGAAAGAAGGGGAUUCAGAAAGAGAAAAUACAAAAGUAGAACGGUAAACUAAUUGCACUGUCUAUUUACUAACUUGCUAUAUAUAUGUACCCAACACCAACCUCCUAUAUUUUGUGGCACCUAGCAUUUGAUUUGGCUUCUAGGUAAUUGCACCGAUGCAUGGAGCAUUUUAUAGUUGCUAGACCCAGCCAAUUCUCUGUAUGUACAUGGUUGCUAAUGAUCUUAACCAUGUGGUAUUAAGUAGAGGCAUCUUAAGUUCUCACCUACUAGGAGAUAAAGCUGGAUCUACCAGUCUCCGUAAGACCAAUAAAAUCCAGCUUCUAUUCCCUCACAGUCUCCGCGAGGAAUCCACACUGUUAUGAAAAGUUCUUAUCAUUUUUCAUCAUGGAAUUUUGUUUUGAAUAUUUUCUAGUACUACGCCUCACCGUGCAAAGAUCAUACUAUCUUGUCUUGCAUGUCCAAAUGAACUUUUUAGGAGCCAUUAGAAUGCCCGCAUAAUAUUCCAUGCUCCUUGCACUUCUAGGGUGGUUCUUCAACACCCUUCGGAGUAAGAUCCUCAUAGAAAUACUCAAUACCCGGUAACAACAACACACAAGGAUCGCCAUCCUCAAUGGGUUCUGUCACUGUAGGCUCGAAUUCCCGCGCUCGAAGCUCAAUUUCCCUGAGAUUGAGUCUUUGGUGGAUGCGGAGCUCGCCGGGCUGCCUGUGACAAUCGAGUCAAGCCCGAUCAAGCCGGCUACGCAUUGUGUCAACGAGAAAGGACAACAUGAGAGAAAGUGACACUCAAAAAAUCACCGUAAAUUUUCAGCUCGUUUGGACUCCAUUUGAUAUUCCUUUUCUAUAAACUCAAAAAUAAGAAAAAAACAGAAAAUGACACUGGGCUCUAGGUUAAUAGGUUAGUUCCAAAAAUAAUAUAAAAUAUCAUAUAAAUUCAUAUAAAACAUCCAGCAUGAAUAAUAUAAUAGCAUGGAACAAUAAAAAAUUAUAGAUACGUUGAAGACGUAUCAGUGGCGCGCAGCCGGUGCGGCCAUGAUCUUCGGCAGGCAGUGGACCUUUCUCGUGAACCCGAUUUGGGCCCAAUCACGACCCGUCCUGCGCGGGAGGUUGGAUGUGGCUUCGGCUACACUGGUCACGUGAUGUACCAUGUGUUGUGCUACCUUCUCCUCCACGGACAGUUCGGCUGGAGUUGACUAGCGGCAUGGGGGCUCCUUGUCUUGCGAAUAAAGGCGGUGGUCGUAGUGUUCUUCUGGUGGCAAGGAAAUGUCUGCGUGAUCGGUUCUUCUUGAUCUGGCUAUCGACGUGUUCCGGGACGUCUGCGUAAUCGGUUCUUCAUGGAUUGGCACAAAAAGCCACUAGAUAUCUAGGUCGGAUUGAAUCCGGUCAUGCACGUCCAUACCAGCCUACGUGGUUUCAUGAGGGCGCAGGGUGCACCUCUAUUGUUUUUUGACACCACGAGACAUGUCAGUAUCUUGAUUUUCAUGGUGUAGACAACGGUGGAGAAGGCCAUUGUGGCUGAGAUUGAAGGACCAGUAAUGGCAGAGGGGGCCUUGGAGGCGAUGCUUGACAGGCUGGUGCUCGGAAUCGUCUUGCGGGACUUCACGUCCACUCUGGACAUGGUACCUGUCAGCCUGGUGUUUGAUAACUUUCAGAAGCAUCAGUGGCAAGUGGGGGCGACAACAAUUGCGAAUUUCACUUUGGUGGUGCUCCUCGAAUGCCAAGUCUUGACUUUUUGGGUGAAACCCUAAGGUUUGAUCUUCAUUGAUUGUGCCUCGCAAUUACCUUGCUGAAGGUAUUGUGUUGAGAGCUCAGACUUUUUCCAUGGUGAAAACCUAAGAUCUUGAAUCGGGCGAUGACAGCGCUUCUACACUGUUUCCUUCAUGGAGGCGUUGCUUUUGGAGACCUUUUUUUUGUUUUCCAGGUGUUGUCUUUGGUGAUGUUUUGUGUGGCGUAGCUGAGAGGAGGUAAUCAUUGUGGCGGGCCUUUUUUUAUUUGCUUGUGUUUUCUUUUUCAGGCUGUGUGCAUCGUGAAUGACUUUGUGACAUUUUGUUCAUGCAGAGGCCGGGUGUACUUUGCGAUAUUAAUAUAUUCCAUUUAUUGAAAAAGAUCUCUCUCAUGGACAUAUAUUUUAAGCUGCACUUCGUCCCUUACCUUCUAAUAUACCCGAGGCAUGUUGUCUUCUAUAAUUCGGUCGUGUAAUGUUCACCUUCUUGCUUCUUCAACGCCUAGGUAGGAGAGUCAAGACAAGGAUGCAAGGACAAAGAGAACACAGCGUCCAGGGCUGCCACUUAUACCAGGAUGCCGACCCGUGCCCUUCCACCUAGUGCGCCCACUUCAGGACGAAGAGACAUUUGUUCUUGUUCUUUCUGAUUGAUUUCUAUUGUGUACCAAAUGUUAGAUUAACCUAGCUGCACGCACACAAGUUUGUUUUACUGCACUUUAGCUAGCUCAUAAGCGUCCUGUACGCAAAUUGGUUCAAGCCAGAAACAUGCUACGAUCACGUUGCGGCUGAAUAGGCAGUAGUGUUUGCUUUACUUCUAUAUAAUCGUGUAGAGAUUCACCACAAUGUAUCCGUGGGAUGGCACGGGUAUAACAGAUCGUGGGUGAUCAGUUUGUAAUGAACUGAAUAAAGGAAAGAGCAGAAAAGACGCAGUCAGUUGCGUGUCACAAAACUCUGCCUCCUCUCUGUUUUCCCUCUUCGUUCGUGUUCUUCAAAGUUCAGACUCAAUCCACCCUCGCGUGUGUAUGUGCACUGAUCUUGGCUAUUCUAAGACCAAAUGGUAAAAUAAAAUGGCAGGCGGAUUACAACAUAUUGAGAGCACGAUUAAUUCUGGAGCACUAUAAUAUCCUGCUUCAGUUUCCAAAUCAAUUGUUGUCUGCAAUUGAACACACACAAAAUUACAACAAGGUUUGUAUGUGCUGGAUUUCUACAACUUCUGCAGUUGCUAGCUGGAUUCUCUUAUGAAAUUCCAUUUCAGGUGCAUCAAAAUAAUUUCCCUGAACAAAAGGACAAUGGUCUUAUUUUUCCAUAGCAAUUAUUUAUGUUUCCCCUAUUUGUUAGGUUGAGAAAAAAGGUUUGUCCUUGGAUGCAAGGUGGAGUAUGCAUGUGUUAAGAUUAUUUAUCUGCAUCUCUCUAUUCCUACACUCAUGAAGAUCAAGUCUGAACAAGUUCCAAGAAAAGUCUUCAACAAAAUAACGACGCAUAAUGCCGCAAUUGCCUUGUAUGAUCAACUAGGGUCAGACCUAGGGUUAGACCCAGAAGCUCGAGACUAGGUACUCAUGUGUCUAGCUACCUUAGUUUUCUGGCCCAACUAGCUUUGGUACUAAUUAGUAUACAUCGCUUAUGGCACGCAACUGCUUGCCACAUCGCUCGUCCAUUGCUUGUUUUUUUUCUUCUGAGUUUUGCUGCUGCUGCCACUCUGAUGUCUUAGGGGAAAAUCCAGCUACCAUUUUUUUUGUUAAUUUGAAAAAAUUAAUGAAAUCAAAAAUAUUCAUGAAUACAAAAAAUAUUCAGAACUUUUAAAAUGAUCAUGCUUUCAAAAAAUCACAAAUUUGAAAAGAUGUUCUUGAAUUUAGAAAAUGUAGUGGUUCAAAAAUGAUCAUGAAUUUUAAAAAUAUUCACACAUUCAUAAAAAAAUGAUCUUGGGAAAAUGUUUGUAUUUUUUAAAAUAAAAUAAAAUAUAAACCAAAACAAGUGUUGACAGCAAGGCUCGGACGUGAGGGUGCGCAGCGGGUUUCACUGCCGAGAGGUGGGCAGGAGUCCUCAUGAGCGUGCAAGCCCACUUGCACUUCCAUCCGAAGGCCGCGGAAAGAGAGCAUGUGAAGAUGUGCCACCAUUGCCGAGGGACCGCCUCAACGCAACGAUAGAGCACAUAAACGAGCUCACCGGCAACGAGGUCAACCGCCUCAGCGCUUCGAACCUGGUCUCCGCCGUGGUCUUCAUCACUGACAGGGUUGGGUACAUCAACUCUGAGCCCGGCCAUGGCUUCGAGCACAUCCGCGAGUAGAUCUUUGGCUCCCUUGACACCUCCGCCAUCCUGCCCCCAUGUGCAGGCUCGUGGAACGCUUGCGGCAUGGACCUCUGGUCACAUCAGAUUCGGUCCUGAUAUACGCCCUCGCCGACGAGUUCGCCGUCAUCCGAGACGUGCUUUGGGCACGAGGAGUAGCUCUUGGCGACCCUCGAAUCCAGGAUCUGCUGCCACUCAUGGCCUUCAGGGCACCAUCUGCGGACCUGCCCGACUUCAUUGUGUCUCUAUCCGGGUCGCUGCCUUAGUUGAGCAUGUGCGACAUGGUGGUCUUGUGUCGUUGGGCUGGCUCGACAUGGUGCACAUAUUGGGUCCGGUUCAGUGCGGCUUCAGUUAAAAAAAGUGUAUGAAAACUAGAAACCAAAAAACAUCAUCCUCAUAGGAUACGCCUAGUCAGCACAAAAUUGAGGAAAAAUACACAAGGGGAUAAAAUAUCGGAAACGCGCUCCGCUUCAACCGAUCGAUUUUCCAUGAAAUUAUCCACCACCUCUUCCAGGUGACGUGUGUCUUUUGUGGGAACCGCCAACCCCUACAGUGAACAGUUCCUUUUCCUCUUCAAUAUCUCCGCAAGCGAAUGGAUAAGAUCGCAAGCCCAUGAGACUGCAGACAAGGUCUGGGCGUGUUCGAUGGUCGGCGUCUGUUAGGCAGCCAAAGACGAGAUGAAGUGCGGGUGCCGCAACCGUCACCGGCCGGUGCUACUGGGAAGCCAUAGACCAGGUAAGGCGCGGGUGCCUCUGCUGCCGCCGGUCGGCGUCUAUUGGGAAGUCGUGCUAUCGCCGACCUCCUCCAUGUCGUUCCCCAGCAUCACCGGCGGCCUCCCUGUUGCAAUUGGAAUGCCGGAGUUGCAAAUGGCAACACGCAUCGGCACUGGUGCCGACGUUUCUGCACACCAUCUUGACUGCAAGAUUUUCUACAACAUUACCUAUGUUGCAAAAAAAUCCGCAACAUCACUUAUGUUGCAAAAAAGUGAAGACCAAUUUUUUUGUGCAACAUUACCUAUGUUGCAAAAAGAAAAUCAUAACAUCACAUAUGUUCAAAAAAAGCGAAGCCCAAAAUAAAGUUCCGUAACAUAACAUAUCUGCAAAAAGAUGUCUGUUGCAAAGGGGUUCUGCAACAUGACUUUUGUACAAAAGUAGAGGGAAGCUAGCCCGCUAGAUUGUGCCACAUCAUACGGUUUGCGAGGCGAUGUAUCUUUUUAAAAGACCUGUCGGUCGAUGUGUAGCAUGGGCUAUGAAAUAUGGGACACAAACGAUAAAUGGGGCUAUAAAUUGAAAAUUUUAUCAAAUUAGAUGAAUUCUGCCACAAGUGUGAAACAUGGGGUAAUUUUCUUUUAUUAAAACUAUAGUACGUAAUUCGCGUGCUGUUCUACAUAACACAAUCAAGAGAGUACGGUGAUAUUUUUUUUUCUACCUGUGCAGAUAGUGAGAAAAUUGCAUUGUGGGGUCAGUAACUUGGCGGUUAGAUACACUUUAACCGAAUAAGUAUGAAAUCGCUAGAAUGAAUACAGUAAUUUGACAGUCAUGUUCAGUGUUAGAGCUUCUCCAGCCGCGCCCCCAACAGGCCCUCCCCAGGCGUUUUUUCUGCGCCGGCGCCGAAAAAACGGCCCAGUCGCCCCCCAGAAGCCCGUUUUUUGCUGGCUCGGGCCGAAAUUGGUGCCGGCGGACCGAGGCAGAACCCGGCGCCCGGGGGGCGCCUGCGGCGCCGGCACAAGUGAAAAGGGGCGUGUGAGUCCGCCUUGUUGGCGAGUCGAGCGCCUCUUCCCACCGUUUCUUCCCGCUUUUCCCCCACUUCCCUCCUGCCGGUGUCAAAACCGGCGGAUCUCGGGUAGGGGGUCCCAAGCAGUGCGCCUUAGGAUCAAUGGUAACAGGAGGCAAGGGACACAAUGUUUACCCAGGUUCGGGCCCUCUCGAUGGAGGUAAAACCCUACUCCUGCUUGAUUAAUAUUGAUGAUAGGGGUAGUACAAGAGUUGAUCUACCACGAGAUCAGAGAGGCUAAACCCUAGAAGCUAGCCUAUGGUAUGAUUGCUGUUGUUGGAUCUAUCAACUAGCCUGGCCUCGGUUUAUAUAAUGCACCAGAGGCCUAGGAUAACAAGAGUCCUAGCCGAAUACGCCGGUGGGGGAGGAGUCCUUGUCUUGAUCGCCAAGUCUUGUGGAAUCUUCCUUGUAUGCGGCAGCUGUCCGAACUGGCCCAUGAGUAUCACUACAAGAAUCUUGUUAACCCAUGACGGAUUUGUCCCGUCACAGAACAGUGCAAAACCAUCCAGGAGGGCGGUCCAUGACGGAUUUACAAUAUGUCAUGUAUAUCGCAUCAUAAUUGGACAACUGCACCACCAUGACGGAUUCUGGCCGUCACCGAACAAUCCAUAGGCCCCUCCGGCCACUCCAGGCCCGGUCCUCUAUGACAGGCUAAUCCGUCAUGGACUAACAUAACGUUGUACCAACAUGGAUCCGACAUGCCAUCUACGUGGACCUGGCGUGGCAUCCUGCAUAGCCAUUGGCCUAAUUAUUUCUGUCUAACCAGGCCCAUUAUCUCAUUUAUUUCAAUACAAACCAUGAUAUUCAUCCAACCAGCUACAACACAACCCAUUACACAUAUUCGAACGAGUUUUCACAACCCAAUUAAUUUCCAUUGAACAUGGCCAUAAUUUGACCCAUUUCAUAAAUUUUCAUUCAAUAAUUUCACCAAGUAAAGGUCAUUUACAUCCAACAUCUGUUCACAUGCCCCUCUUACAAAUUACACAUCAUUACAUAAGAAGUAUACAACAUUGUGCAGACCCUCUUAAUCAUCAACUUCACCUCUGCUACUCAAACUUUCUUUGCAACCCUGACCAAGGAAACCUGUAUAACAAACUUAGAUUUUGUUACACAAUAGCAAGUUGAUUACAACAAUAGCAACAGUAGUUAUUAUCAUCUGAACCAUCGUUCUAAUUUCACAUUAUUCUAAAAUGUAUAUACAAAACUACUAUGGGCAUAGCAAAUCUAUAUAGAAACAGGCUAACCAUAAAAUGUAAACCUCUUAUGGAAUCAAACCUGAUUGUUACUAUAAUGUAGUGCACAAAAAUGUUAACUAGAUAAAUAAGUGCAUACAUAAGCCACUCUAUCUUACCACCAUAUUGAUAGAGAUCCAACAAGCCAUUGAUUAAAAAGGCAUAAUCAUGCAAAAAUCCUGGUGCAUUUGCUGGGCCAUUGGGAUAACUAUGAUGCAACCUUUUUGAGCUUGUAUCAUAGAGUUUUUCCUUUAUAAAGUUUGCUGCCUUUUCUGAAACUGGAAGAUAUUCUACUAGCUGCAAAAAUAUCCACAAAUAUGGACAAUCAAGAAACAAAUUUAUAUGACACAAACAAACACAUUCAUGUAAAGCAGGUGAAGACAAAAAUCUAGUGAUUUUUGUAUGACUUUCUAAUAUAAAAGACUAGGAAUUCUCCUACAGUCAUUCAAUGUUCAAAACAAAUACAAAAAAUCUAGCACACGCCACAACACAUGAAGGGGAGAUAGCCUUUUAGACCUGAUACAAAGCAACAUAUACACUGCUGCAGAAGAGGUCCAUACACAAUAUCAUGGUGUUCUCGUAACAUAAUGGACAAUUUAAUUUAACUUUUUUAAACAAAUGCAUGGGCAUGCAUUCCUAGCGAUUAGGUUUGAACAAGUCCAACAUGUGUAGAGAACAACUGAGCAAGAAGAAUAAGCAACAAACUAUAGAGUACAGACUGGCCAUGGCUCUCCAUUGUUUAUGGUGUGGUUACAACUUACGACUAGUCAAAAUAGUAAAUAGGUGCCAUGAAUAUCUGAAUUUAUCAGUUUGAAAACAGUUCCAGUUUCUUAAUUUCGCCCAUUCUUUUUCACCUGAUUCUAACUGCACAUAGUUCAGUUUAUUAGAUGACUAAAAUGCUUUGGCAGGUGCUGAAAUUAUACAGAAUUGAUCAACAAUUAAAUACUAAGGAUAACUCGACUAUAUUAUAUCCAUAUAUCUGAGUAUAUGACUUGAUAUGUUGAAAAAAGAUUUAGCCUGAAUAAUAUGUGAUAGGAAGCACCAACCGGGAAUAAUAACAUGAUCUGUCCAAAAUUAUAACAAACAUUAGAUAUUUGUAGAUGGCUUACAAUUUUUCCUAGUCUUGUAGGGAACUAAAAUACUUUCCUUCCAUGCUUAUACUAAUAAUAAUGCAAGUAGGUCAGAAUCACGUGAAAUACAAAUCAAUCAACAGUUUCCAUGUAUUUUUCAGUCAUACCCAGCAAAGCAAGUAACGUCCUAGUUGCAGAAAGAGGACUUGCAUGCUUGUAGUCAGGUUCAGCUUGAAUAGAUGCAAAAGACUAGAAUAUAUGUAUGAAUGGAAUUCUUAUUAGUUGUUGCAUUUAAGGAAGUGAUGCAUAUAUUCUAUGCUUGUAGUCAGGUCCUAGUUAAAGAAAGAGGGCGUCCAUGCUUGUAGUCAGGUUCAGCUUGAAUAGAUGCAAAAUACUAUGCACGUUGUAGGCACGUUGGAACAACAAAAAAUAUAGAAAAAUGUAUGUAGAAAUAUUGAUGAUAAGUCACAGCAAUUUUGUACAGUCAACCAUGUUGUAAACUUGACCACCAGAUCUAAAAAUAUAUUAUAUACUCUACACGAAAGAUGAUUGCAACAAUUUUGGGAAGCUGAUAUAACUUAAUAUCAAAUGAAUGUACACCACAUUUUCUUCUAUGAAUUAACUAUGCUAACCCAUGUAGUACUGCUACAAUAGGAUCAUGGCUAUAUGAUAUCUUGGUCAACAGAUGUAUGUAUCAAUCAAAACUCAAAAAUGUUGUAAUAAAGUAUCAAUUGAUGAGUGCAUACCAUUAUUCCCUUGCUAGUGAGCACGCAUUAUUAAAGGUAUUAGCUUAAUUGGCCUUCAGUUUCAGGCCGCCAACAUCAUUCAGAGUGUGCUAAUGAAACAGGGGUGUUCAGAUUCAUGAGUUGUUGAGCCAGCUCGACUUGGACGCUUCCAUGAACUGGUCACUUGUCUCGACAUAUUUGCUGGUUGACACCAGCAGCCAACAAUCGACAUCAUCGUCGUACAUCCACUUCUCUGCUAUCCCUAUCAAAUCAAAAACUACAAAAUUACUAUGUGAAACAGGCUACAAUGUGCAUAUUAACCAAGAAAACUACCUCAGCAAAAGAAGUGAAAUAUAUAUGUAUAAGUGAUGUGCAUAUUAACCCAGAAAAUUACUAACUACAAAAUACUUCCUUCAAUUUCCCUCACUGUACAGGAACUUGUUCAGGUAUAUACAGAUGAACACGCUUCAGUCAGUCAACGCACAUUCUACCAAGAAAAUAAGAUGGCAGGGGGAGAGGAAGAUGGGAUUUGGGGUGUUCACAUGGGCAAGAGAGGGCCUCCAGUGGUUCAAAUGCGGCAGAGGAGGUUGCCACGGGCUGCACAGCCGUACCGGAGACGCAACAGAGGAGGUUGCGGUCGCCGCCGUGCAGCCCAACGCGAGUGAGCGCACCGAGCUAGGCGGAGCCAUCCAGGAGGCGUAGAGGGCGCGAGGGGGCGUAGUGCGCGACAGAGUGAAGCCACCGGAGACGCGCCGACGAUGGAAGCGAAGCCAUAGUAGAAACCCUAGCCACUGGCUAGGGGUCGCCGGGCGAGCGCCAAAGACCGGGAGCUACGGAUACUGCCGGCCUGGAGGAGAGAGUGGUCGGAGACCAGCUCUUGUGUGUGUUGCGCCGUGGUGGACAUCGCCAGAAUCGGCGGACGUUGGCUGCGUUGUGUGGGUUCAUAGGAGAGAGAGAGAGAGAUUGUUUGUGAGAUGGAUGGGUGGGUGGAGAAUGCUGCAGAUCUGGAAACUGCCCGAGGUGAGGAGGAUAGGGCCGUCGGCGAACUAUUGGAGGGAAGCGAGGAGGUUGGUUGCGGCGGCGCUGUGCGGGAGUAAUGGGGAAUCAGGAGGGGCUGCGGGGGAGGAAGUGAGGAUGAGGGUUAGGGUUAGCAUUUUAUAUGUGUAAAGCUUAUGCGGGCUUGGGCAGGCUUGUGGCGGGCUUGCGGGGCUGUACCACGCCAUCCAUGACAGUAUCCAAAAAUGUCAUCGAAAAUCCGUCAUGGAUUAACAUGUUUUUUGUAGUGUAUACGACCAUGGGGGUCCUCGGCCCAAUCUAACAGAUCGGGAGAUGACAUGGUGAGUACCCCCUAGUCCAGGACACCGUCAGUAGCCCCCUGAACCGGUCUUCAAGUUAGGGACGCUCCUCGAUUCUUCUGAACCGUUCUUCAUCUUCACUCAUCGGUCUUGAAAACUGGUUCAACAAAUCUUCUCAUCUUCGAUCUUGAGGAUCUCCGAAAUGCAUUCGACGAGUUUAUACGUCGGGUAUCCGAUGAGACCCUUUAAGUUUCCGGCCUUUAUCAAUGCCUUGUUAUUUUUAUGCCACACCUCGGGUUUGAAGUUGUUCCCGGGUGGCAGCGUCCUCUUGCGUCCGAGCUCCAACACCGGACUGCAUUCGAGGUAUCUUUUGCAGCUGAGCACCAAUGUCGGACUGCUUCCGAGCUCCAACGCCGGAAUUUAUCCAAGCUCUAACGCCGGACUGUGUCCAAGCUCCAACGCCGGACUGUAUCCAAGCUCCAACGCCGGACUAUAUCCGAGAUGUCACAUAUCAUCUGGGUUCAAAAACUUGAAGGAGUUUAGCCGAGCUUAAUGCCGGAAAUGCCCUCUACGGAGCCAGCCACUAGCGUCCGAGCUUUAUGCCGGACUGCUUCCGGGGUGUCUAUUGUAGUCGAGCACCAACGCCGGACUGUAUCCGAGCUCCAACGCUGGACUAUGUCCAGAUGCACCUGAAGGAAAAGAUGAAACCGCUGAUCCCAGUAGCCCCUGAGACUCAGGUCGAUGCGUGAAAUCGGCCUGAGGAUCAACUCCUAGCUCGGCAGCAUAUGUAGGAAUAGAAACGCGGUGUGCAAAGUCCUCGAGACUCAGGUUGGGUGCGGCCGACCAACCUGAGGAUAAUAAUCUCCUUGAAAACUAUAUUGCACUUUUAAUUUUCUGCAUUGGAUUGCCAAUGCAGUAGCCCCCGAGACACUGGUCGGGUGGCAACACCAGAUUAGGGGAUCGAUAUGCCCUUUUAAUAUUUGUAAAUAAUAAGCCUGAAGCCUAGUAGCCCCCGAGCCUUAAUGCGGGCACGGGAGGCCGAAUUAAGGAUCGAUAUACAUAGUAAAAUCACAAGGUAUGUGUAAUGACUCUAUGUAUCCAAGUACUUUACGUCAUUAAUGCUCGGAACCGCAUUGUACAAAACGUUGUUGACCGACCAUCGGCUUCCACCUCCUCGGCCAAUAGUCAAGGAGUGUUUGUCCUACUUUAUAAAGCCUUUAUGAGGGCAAAGAUUUACAACAAACAAGGCAAUCUGGCAAUACGGUUUUAUAAACAAAGGUACGCGGAGAGACAUGUUAUAUUACUGUUUAACAGAAGAAAUGUCUUCCAAAGAAAAUAGUCCCGCUAUCGGUUCCUUUCUUUGGGUUGUCAUGCUAAGCAUGAUCAUGAAACCUCGGCUCCAAUGUAAGAGCAAAAUAUCGAGGAUUUAGUUUGGGAGGCCAGUUAAUAUCCCCCGGUAGUGUUCGGCGACAGUCGAGGUCAAGCCGUAAACACUUCGGGCAUUGUUAUGAAUGGCCCAUCGUUUAACACCGUCAUCGGAUCGCUGACCAGUUUACGCUUAUUGUGACAGUCAGUUUUCGGCUUUCUCCACUGAGGUGCUUAACCAUGUGAGCUGGAAGCACAAUCGCAGUGGUUCUCCCUUUGCACACCUAGCCGAACAAAGCGGAACAUAGGAGGCAAGCGCAGGAGCCGGGCAACCCAAAUAUUGACCGAAGACACAAUUCGAAACCGAUGCAUAUAUAGCAAUAUCCGAGAAUGUUUUUGCCGAAUCUCUAAAGGUGUCCGGCGUUGCACUGCGAGAAUUGUGCUGAAAACACAAAAAUAGUUUAAAAGUGCCAUAAGCUUGGAAAACCAAGAAAAAUAUCAGUAAAAACUUGACGUCCGAACAAGAUCAAGUGUUCGGUGCCAAUCCGAAAAUUGGCCUUAGCAAUAGAAGUGCUUCUGUCGUGCUUUAACAUGAUACAUCUUAUCUCAAGACUUCAAGCGGGUCAGCCUACGGCUUCAACCACCUAUCCCUAGGGCGGAGUACUUCUCAUUAGGUCAGUUUAGCAAACUAAACUCUAGCGGCUUUGAGAAAGAAAUUAGGCUCCCCGGCUAGUGACCACACGCUCGUGUCGAAAAAAGGAGUGAUAGAUAAUAAUAGUAAUAAUAAAACUUUGCAACGACUAGGAAGAAGAACACUUAUCAUAAAACGGCUCAUAUAAAUUUAAGAUUCCCCAAGUGACUUGGGUAAAAGAAUGAUUGCAUGUACCGAAGUACUUAUAUCAUAUCUAUGUUCAACCAAACUUUAAACGCGUCUUAACCGACCGUCGGCUUCUCCCUCUUCGGUCAAGGACCGAAAAGUGUUAUAUACUCCAUCUGUCGAGAAUAUCGACGGUGUUUCCAAUAACCAGGCAAUCAGGCCAUAAGGCUGUAACAGACAAAGCGCGCUCAGGGAACUUAUGCUAUAUUACUGCGAAGUGUAAGAAGCAUCUUCGAAGAAAAUAGUACUCCCACCGAUACCUUUCUUCGGUGCUCAUUGUUAUUAUGAGACUUGUGCAAUAGAUUUUUUGUACUCAUGAGUUCCGUUGUGUGCCGACCAUCAUUGAAAACUAUAAGAGCGCUAGCUUUCGGCUUCGCCCAGUCUGAGGUCCGGCUCAGAUGACCUGAUCGUGACAAUCGCAGAGGUGCUCCCUUUACUCCCUAGCCGAACAAUCGGGAACGUAGGGGUAAACACAGGAGCGAGACAACCCAGCUUGCAAAUUGCUUAAGUCAAUAUGGUGCAUAUUGCGGCGUAAUACACGAAUAAGGAAUGAAGCCGUACAAAUAUAAUCAUAUGCAAGAGGAAAAGCUUCAUGAAGGAAGCCCCCAAAUGAAUUGGGUAUUUGAAUUUAUGCGUCACACACAAAGUUUGGACAAGGAAAUUUUUACAAGCAACUUUUUUCCAAAAAAGUAUAAUGCUUGGUCGAGCCGAACACAAGUUAAAAAUUUAGAACUUUAAGCAUGAAGGCAACUUAGCUGGUUAAUUUGUUCGGUAUUGAUGACGCGGUCCGAGCUUGAUGCGGGACAAGGUUCCAUCCCCCAAGUCGGUCCCGAGGUGGCAGAGCAAAGAGCUCGGCACUCCGAAGUGGUGACAUAGCACGGUCAAUGCAGGACGGCAGGGUGAUGCCGAAGUCCCCGGCAUGGGGUAAUGAAGUGUUGACGAAGCGCCCCGUCCAGCCGAGGUGACGCCAAAGGAUAUAGUCCGGCUGGAUCAUUUUCCUGUGCACAAAAAAUAGUGCAAACCGGAGAUAAUAGUAAUAAUAAUAAAAAAAAUCGUUGCAUAACAAAUAAUUUAUGCAAAGUGAGUAAUAAAAGAAAUAUGGCCUGGCGCCGAAGUCAAUUUCGAUGCAGAGCGGCGACGUGAUGCGGUAAAGGCAUGGCAAGGCCUGAAUUCACAGGUCGGUUCGAGUUCCGGAUGAGGCGUACGCCGGACUAUGUACGUAAACUGACCGAACCAUCAUGCGACCGUCAUUAAUGCGGCCACCAUUUGAUAGACAUGCAUAUAGAUGAUGGAACAAAGCAGAGUAAUAAUUCCUUGGGAAAAAAUAAACCUGAACAAGCAAAAAUUGUUGGGAUUAAUAGCACCUGGUUUAUUUGUUGUAGCGGUUCGAAGAAAGGUUACUCCCAAAAUUGGGACUCGAUCCGCACACCCAUUGCCUGAUGGGUGACGAAGCGAAGACAUGACGAUGCUGGCAAAGGCUGGCUCGCCGAGGCAAAGCCCGUGGUCCAGCUAAUGUGAUGAAGCUGGUUGGCCGGUGACGCCGGAGUCUCCGGGGUAAGUUGAUGAAGAGAUGACGAAGCCCCCAGUCUAGGCGAGGAGACGGAGCAGGUCGGUGAGGAGAUGUGCCAGCUGAGGUGUUGAAGUAGUUCGGCGUGAUGGACACCGGCUCGAUGAAGCAACAGUUCGGCCAUGCCGAUGCAGGUCGUAGCUUGUGAUGUGAUCAAUGCUGGCUUGAUGAAGUGACCGUGUGACGAUGCCGGUGUGCCCGCUCCGUGUAAUCCGUGGGGCGGCGAUAUUGGUGACGAUUUAUCCUCCGCGAUGCUGAACUAUUGUUCGGCUGACCGAGAUGAUGAUCCGAAUAAACUGAGCUCGGCUCAACAAAGCGACGACGUGUCUAACGCAGGUCGGCCGCCGUGGAGUGAUGUUUAUCGGGCUGGUUUGACACCGGCGCGACGGUGAAGUUCGUAUUGCAAAAAUACUUUUAGUACUACUGGGAUGUGUGAUGGGGUCAUGUACCUAGGGUAGGGUCAUGGACCUGGUCUAAGUGCCUUGCCCAAGGACACCCUUAGAAGAGGUCACCUUCCAGUCGACCAACGAGGGACUCACUCGACUGACUUAAAGGACUCGACCAUGAAGACUCACUCGACCACCAGGAGGUCAAGAGGCACUCUGCACUGCAACGGCCUGUAAUUAAGUAGGCUUUAUGAUAGUAAAGACACUUUAUGUGGGGCGUUACCAGUAACGCCCCAGACUUAACUCACCUUAAACCCUCUCCUACGUGGGCUGGCUGGGGUCCUGGCGCACUCUAUAUAAGCCACCCCCCUCCACAGGUAGAAGGGUUCGGCAUCUUGUAACUCAUAUACUCAUAAUCCACUCGACCGCCUCCGGGCUCCGAGACGUAGGGCUAUUACUUCUUCCGAGAAGGGCCUGAACUCGUACAUCUCUUGUGUUUACAACCUCUCCAUAGCUAGGACCUUGCCUCUCCAUACCUACCCCCACUCUACUGUCAAGCUUAGAACCACGACAGUUGGCUCCCACCGUGGGGUAGGUGUUUUAGCGAUUUUGUGGAGAAGUUGCGAUUCUUCCGAGUACUUUCAUCAUGGUGUCUGCUGGAGUUUUGGUCGAAGGUCGAGAGAUCUGUCUCGGCACUCUCACGUUCAUCGCCGACGACUCCGCCUGGCUCCAGGAGGCUCCACUCGACGUUGAUGCGCUCCCCGUCCGCGGUGCGACGCAUUUUCGCGCAUGUGUCCGCGGCGUUCUGCUGCGGUAACCGUCGACCCCGUAUCGGACGACUCCUCCAUCGUCCACCCUCCCGGUCUCCCGCCAGCGCAAGCGCUCAGGCCGGUCGAGGCUUCAGCGAUGGGUGAGGCACGCGGUGGCUCGCCAAUCGGCCACUACCCAAGUUGCGGCAAUCGAGCCCGACGAAUCUCUCUACGGCUUGUUCGAUCUGUCGACUGGCUCCGUAGAGACUGCAUCCGAGUGCGGUAGCAGUGAUCCAGCGGCGGAAAUCUUGAUGGUCGACGGGCCCCGCAGUCCCCCUGGCUUCGCCCGUGAUGGUGGAGCAGGUGACGGAGGCGACCCCGCUCGAGGCCACGAAGAGUACCAGCCCGAGCCACUCGACUCUCUGCAAAGAGAGGAACUUCGCCGCAGGAACGUGGAUGCUCUGCGUACUCCCAUCGCAGGAGAAACCCCCGAGGCUCGUGCCUUGGAGGAGGCACGCCUGGCCAAUUUGGCCGAGUGCACUCGACUGGAGAAUCUUCAGCGAGCACUCGACGAGCACGCGCGGCAACGAGUUCCCGACACCAGUCGACGUCAACUCUUCCCGUCGACUCAGGUAGAUCGAACCCCAAUCCAGAAUUUAGCAGCUGCGACCCGUAUAGCAGAGUCCAUCCAGCCUUCGCAGUCGGAAGCUGGCAGAGGUUUGCUGCAGAUCAGGGAUCUACUCCGGGCAGCAGGAGAUCAGAAUUCAGCCGUGUCUCAGUCGUGCAACAGAAUUCACAGUCGAUCCGUCACUGCGAAUACGGUUCAGUCGGCUCACAGCCCCAGAUCGCCUCCGCGGCGUGAAGGGCGCGAGAAUCGGCGAGAUCAAUAUGGCGACCGACUCGACCGAGAUGAUAGGCGUCGAGUGCCCAAUUCCCCUCCGAGGGGUGGGUCUUACGCUCCUCGACAGGAAGAUGAUAGGCGUCAGUACAGUACAGGGCGAAGGGUUCCAGUCGACCCCAGAGAACCAGGCUUCGACGCGCGAUCCAUUAUCGUGCAAGGUAUGGUCGACCGGAACAGAGCCCAUCGAGGUGGACUCGACAGAGAUGCACCUACAAGCAGUCGAGUGCAUGUUUCUGGUCCUGAAUGUUUCAGCAGAGCUAUCAGAGCUGCAGUUAUCCCUCCCAAUUUCAGGUUGGCGACAGGAGUCAGCAAGUUCACUGGUGAGUCUAAGCCUGAAACUUGGCUUGAAGAUUACCGAGUGGCAGUUCAGAUUGGUGGUGGGAACGACGAGGUGGCCAUGAAGCAUUUGCCCCUCAUGCUGGAAGGUUCUGCCAGGGCAUGGUUGACUCAAUUACCUCCUAGCAGCAUUUACACUUGGGAAGAUCUGUCCCGAGUGUUCGUCAGAACGUUUGAAGGAACUUGCAAGCGACCAGCUGGAUUGACAGAGUUGCAAGUCUGCGUGCAGAAGGCUAAUGAGACUCUUAGAGAGUAUAUUCAGAGGUGGAUCACUUUGCACCACACUGUGGAGAAUGUGUCCGAUCAUCAGGCAGUCUGCGCCUUCAAAGAUGGCGUCAAGAACAGAGAACUGAGUUUGAAAUUUGGUCGAACCGGUGACAUGACCUUGAGUCGGAUGAUGGAGAUUGCUACCAAGUACACCAAUGGCGAAGAAGAAGACCGACUCCGAAGCGGCAAACACAAGCCGAGUCAGUCGGAAAAAGGAAACACCAGUCGGAAACAGAAGCGGAAGGCUGAACCGGCAGCUCCUGGAGAGGCUCUGGCCGUGACUCAAGGAAAGUUUAAGGGGAAACCAAAAGGAUCCUGGAACCCCAAGAAGGUAAAGGAUAAAGAAGGGAACGACGUAAUGGAUAUGCCAUGUCACAUCCACACGAAGAAAGACGAAGAGGGGAAUAUCAUCUACCCGAAGCACACCACUCGCCAAUGUCGACUCCUGAUCCAGCAGUUUCAGGGAAAACAGUCUAAGGACAAGGAGAAGGAGUCGGACAAGGCCGAAGACAAGGAGGACAGUGAGGAAGGAUAUCCGCAUAUCAACUCCACUCUGAUGAUCUUUGCAGAUGUGGAAAGCAGGAGUCGACUGAAAGUCAUUAACCGAGAGGUGAACAUGGUUGCCCCAGCAAAAGCAAAUUAUUUGAAAUGGUCUCAAAUACCCAUCACAUUCGACCAAUCUGAUCACCCGACUCAUAUUGCCACCCCUGGGAGGCAAGCUUUGGUGGUCGAUCCAGUUGUCGAAGGCACUCGACUGACAAAAGUGCUGAUGGACGGUGGAAGCGGGCUGAAUUUGUUGUAUGCAGACACACUAAAAGGAAUGGGCAUUCCGAUGUCCCGACUGAGCACUAGUAACAUGAGCUUUCAUGGAGUUAUACCAGGGAAGAAAGCCGAGUCACUCGGCCAAAUAGCUUUGGACGUGGUGUUUGGUGAUUCGAAACAUUUUUGCAAAGAAAAGUUGACGUUUGAGUUCGUGGAUUUUCAGAGUGCAUAUCAUGCCAUUUUGGGGAGACCAGCUUACGCACGGUUCAUGGCUCGACCAUGUUACGUGUACCUCAAAUUGAAGAUGCCCGGCCCCAAAGGAGUGAUCACUGUCACCGGUGAUCGGAAAAAGGCAGAAGAGUGCUUUCAGAAGGGCUCAAAGAUUGCCGAUUCCCAGGUGACAGCGGUCGAUUUCGAAGAAUACAAGCAAAAUGCAGAUCCGAGUUACUUGCUGCGAUCAAAGAAACCCGCCACAGAGUCUGCAUUUCAGUCGUCCAGUGAGACGAAGCCUGUUCACAUUCACCCGACCGACCCCGAUGCAGCUCCGACUCGCAUCUCCACAACACUCGACCCAAAAUAGGAAGAAGCGCUCAUCCAGUUCCUCCGUGAGAACUGGGACAUUUUUGCAUGGAAGCCCGCUGACAUGCCAGGUGUUCCCAGGGGACUGGCUGAGCAAGAGUCGACUCGUCUGCAAAACCAGUCAAAGAGCAUCUUCGGCGGUCCGCCGUCCAGAAGAGAGAAGCCAUUGGUGAGGAAGUGGCUCGACUGUUGGCGGCAGGAUUUAUCCAAGAGAUAUACCACUCCGAGUGGCUCGCUAAUGUCGUCAUGGUUCCUAAGAAGGACAAGUCGCUCCGAAUGUGCAUUGAUUUCAAGCACAUCAACCGGGCCUGCCCGAAAGAUCAUUUUCCUCUCCCUCGCAUAGAUCAAAUUGUUGACUCGACCGCGGGAUGCGAGAGGCUGUCUUUUCUAGAUGCCUACUCUGGGUACCACCAGAUCCGUCUGUACGGACCCGAUGAGGUAAAAACAGCUUUCAUCACUCCAUUCGGGUGCUUCUGCUAUAUCACCAUGCCAUUCGGCCUCAAGAAUGCCGGAGCCACAUUUAUGUGAAUGAUUCAGAAGUGUCUACUCACUCAAAUCAGUCGGAAUAUGGAAGCAUAUAUGGAUGAUAUCGUUGUCAAGUCACGAAAAGGUUCCGACCUGCUCGCUGACCUCGCCGAAACAUUUGCCAACCUCGGAAGAUAUGAUAUCAAGCUCAAUCCAUCAAAGUGCACAUUUGGAGUUCCUGGUGGCAAGUUACUCGGUUUUCUCGUUUCCAAACGGGGAAUCGACGCUAACCCAGAGAAGAUUGGCACUAUUCUCCGAAUGAAACGCCCUGUGCAAGUGCACGAUGUCCAGAAGCUUACUGGAUGCUUGGCCGCAUUAAGUCGAUUCAUCUCACGACUCGGUGAAAAGGCAUUGCCUCUUUACCGACUGAUGAAGAAGACAGACAAGUUCGAGUGGACUCCAGAAGCUGAUGCAGCGUUUGCCGAGCUAAAAGCUCUGCUCUCCACCCAGCCGGUGCUUGCUGCUCCAAUCAGCAAAGAGCCUCUGUUGCUCUAUAUCGCAGCCACAGGACAAGUCGUCAGUACUGUGCUUACGGUCGAGCAGGAAGAAGAAGGAAAAGCUCUCAAAGUUCAGCGCCUAGUGUAUUAUUUGUCUGAAGUCUUGACUCCAUCCAAGCAGAGAUAUCCUCAUUAUCAGAAGCUUGUGUAUGGAAUAUACAUCACCACAAAGAAGGUUGCUCAUUAUUUUUCUGAUCAUUCCAUCACAGUCGUCAGCGACGCUCCACUAUCAGAGAUCUUGCACAACAGAGAUGCAACUGGUCGAGUGGCCAAAUGGGCGAUUGAACUUCUUCCCCUUGAUAUCAAGUUUGAGGCAAAGAAAGCCAUUAAGUCCCAGGCAAUAGCAGAUUUCCUCGCCGAGUGGAUUGAGCAACAGCAGCCGACUGAAGUUCACUCGGAGCAUUGGACCAUGUUCUUUGAUGGCUCUAAGAUGUUGAAUGGUUCCGGUGCUGGGGUUGUCCUGGUUUCCCCCAGAGGAGAUAAGCUCAGAUAUGUGCUCCAGAUUCACUUUGAUUCCUCCAACAAUGAGGCAGAAUAUGAGGCCCUCUUAUACGGGUUGCGCAUGGCCAUUUCACUCGGCGUCCGUCGCCUGAUGGUCUAUGGUGAUUCGGAUUUAGUGGUCAACCAGGUGAUGAAAGAGUGGGACGUGAGAAGUCCAGCCAUGACUGGAUACUGCAGUGCAGUGAGGAAGCUGGAUAAGAAGUUCGAGGGGUUGGAGCUCCAUCAUAUACCCCGACUGAAAAAUCAAGCAGUUGAUGAUCUAGCAAAGAUAGGUUCCAAGAGAGAAGCCAUUCCGAGUGGUGUGUUCUUGGAGCAUAUACACACUCCGUCAGUCAAAGAAGAUCCUUUCAUCGAAGAAACUCCACAGCCCAAGAGUGCCACAGAUCCGACUGAGAUUGAAGUCCCAGCGAUGGUCGACUUGAUCAUGGAGGUUUUGGUGGUCAUUCCCGACUGGACAGUUCCGUAUGUCGCAUAUAUCCUGAGAAAAGAGCUUCCGGAAGAUGAGGAAGAGGCUCGACAGAUCGUCCGUCGAUCUAAGGCCUUUACCGUAAUCAAAGGACAAUUAUACAGAGAAAGCGCGACUGGAGUUGGCCAGAAGUGCAUAACACCAGAGGAAGGUCGACUCAUCCUCAAUGAUAUCCACUCGGGGACCUGUGGUCAUCAUGCGUCCUCUUGGACCAUCGUGGCCAAAGCAUACCGAGCCGGAUUUUACUGGCCAAAGGCGAAUGAGAUGGCAAAAGAGAUAGUGGAUAAGUGUGAGGGAUGUCAGUUCUACUCGAAUAUGUCGCACAAGCCUGCGUCGGCUCUGAAGACCAUCCCACUCGUCUGGCCUUUUGCAGUAUGGGGAUUGGACAUGGUCGGUCCUUUGAGAACAGGACGAAGCGGCUUCACGCAUGUACUGGUGGCAGUCGACAAGUUCACCAAAUGGAUCGAGGCUAAACCAAUCAAGAACCUCGACACCGGUACUGCUGUUAGCUUCAUCAGGGAACUAAUAUUCAGAUAUGGAGUCCCGCACAGCAUCAUUACGGAUAAUGGGUCGAACUUUGACUCGGAGGAAUUCAGAGAUUUCUGCAACUCCCAAGGCACACGGGUCGACUACGCUUCAGUCGCCCAUCCGCAGUCGAAUGGACAAGCAGAGCGAGCUAAUGGACUAAUUCUUAAAGGAUUGAAGCCCCGACUGAUGCGUGAUCUCAAACACGCGGCUGGAGCUUGGGUCGACGAACUUCCCUCAGUGCUUUGGGGGCUGCGGACCACACCUAAUCGGUCGACCGGAAGAACUCCAUUCUUCUUGGUCUACGGAGCUGAAGCAGUCUUGCCGAGUGAUCUUCUCCACAAUGCUCCUCGAGUUGAAAUCUACAACGAAGCAGAGGCGGAACAAGCGCGGCAGGACGCAGUCGACCUUUUAGAGGAAGAAAGGGAGAUGGCUCUGAUCCGGUCGACCAUCUACCAACAAGAUUUGCGUCGUUUCCACGCCAGAAAUGUGAGAGGUCGAGCCUUCCAGGAAGGAGAUUUAGUUCUCCGAGUGGAUCAGCACAAACCACACAAGCUUGCUCCUUCUUGGGAAGGUCCCUUCAUCGUCACCAAGGUUCUCCACAAUGGGGCGUACCGUCUUUACAACGUCGAGCAUAAUAUCGACGAGCCCCGAGCUUGGAACGCGGAGCUACUCCGCCCAUUUUAUACUUAAGUUUUAUCACUCGGAUGAGUUGCAAUAAAGUACUUCUGUAGUUCAUGGACCUCAAAAUAAUAGUGUCAUAGUUCCUCCAUAAUUUCUGUCACUUUUUAUUUUUGUCCAAUAAAAUUCCCCCUCAGUGGGUGACUUAGCCGCGAAUCCGUUUCGCCUAAGUUUGUAAAAAUCCUACCGAGUGGUGAGCCAGACUCCCACUCGGAGGCUUAGCCGCGAAUCCGUUUCGCCUAAGUUUGUAAAAAUCCUACCGAGUGGUGAGCCAGACUCCCACUCGGAGGCUUAGCUGCGAAUCCGUUUCGCCUAAGUUAUCAAAAUCCUACUGAGUGGUAAGCCAGACUUCCACUCGGAGGCUUAGCUGCAGUCCAAGGACUCGCCUAAGUUUGUCAAAAUCCUUCCGAGUGGAUAGCAACCCUCUCACUCGGGGGCUUAGCUGCAGUCCAAGCACUCGCCUAAGUUUUAAAAAAUCCUACCGAGUGAAGAGCAAACCUCUCACUCGGGGGCUUAGCUGCAGUCCAAGCACUCGCCUAAGUUUUAAAAAUCCUACCGAGUGGCAAGCCAGACUUUCGCUCGGGGGCUUAGCUGCAGCCCUGUGCUCGCCUAAGUUUUAAAAAAUCCUACCGAGUGAAGAGCAAACCUCUCACUCGGGGGCUUAGCUGCAGUCCAAGCACUCGCCUAAGUUUUAAAAAUCCUACCGAGUGGCAAGCCAGACUUUCGCUCGGGGGCUUAGCUGCAGCCCUGUGCUCGCCUAAGUAGUUAAAAAUCCUACCGAGUGGAGAGCAACCCUCUCACUCGGAGGCUUAGCUGCAGUCCAAGUACUCGCCUAAGUUACAAAAAUCCUACCGAGUGGAGAGCAACCCUCUCACUCGGAGGCUUAGCUGCAGUCCAAGCACUCGCCUAAGUUACGAAAAUCCUACCGAGUGAAGAGCAAACCUCUCACUCGGAGGCUUAGCUGCAGCCCAGUGCUAGCCUAAGUUAUCAAAAUCCUACCGAGUGAAGAGUAAACCUCUCACUCGGAGGCUUAGCUGCAGCCCAGUGCUCGCCUAAGUUACAGAAAUCCUACCGAGUGGUAAGCCGGGCUUCCACUCGGAGGCUUAGCCGCAGUCCAGUACUCGCCUAAGUGGACUAAAGAAUAGGUCGAUUGCAGUAAGGGCGCCUUGCUUUGAACCUGCAAAAGACAUUUCGAGCCAAAGGCAAUCAUAUUCAAGCACCAAAUUCAAGUUUGAGUCGAUAUCUAAAGGAACCGAAAGUGCUCAGGCGUUAAGCCUGUUAAGAUUUACCGGUUACAAUUCCACUCGGCAUACCGAGGCAAAUUUAAAGCGUCGAGCCAGAAGAAAUUUUUUACCCCUCCUGUGGAGGGCUAGAAGGUGCAACGAACUCAUCAAGGUCAAUUCCGUCGGCGAUCCGAGUGGCAGCCCUAAGGAAAGUUUCCAUAAAAGACCUGAAGUCGUGUUUCUUGGUGUUGGCCACCCGAAGGGCCGCCAGCUUCUCUUCUCGCGCGUCUUUACAGUGGACUCGGGCCAGACACAGAGCAACAUCUGCACCACACCGAGCCGAGGACUUCUUCCAUUCCUGCACUCGACCAGGGAUCGUGUUCAAGCGGGCCAUCAGCGACUCAAGGUCAUUCUGAAGUGUCUCCUCAGGCCAGAGCGUCGAGUCGAUGCGAGAUGUGGCGGCCUUCAGCCUUGCGAGAUAAUCCACGACAGCUGCAACACGAGACUCCAGUCGGAAAACAUCCAUGGCAACUUCGUCGUUCACCGGAGAAUUGACGGGGUCGAGGUUUGGCUCCAGCCGGCUAGUUUCUUCUUCAAAGUUUUGACAAAAUUCUGCAAGGGUGAUCACUAAAUCAAGGGGAUGGUCGAAUGAAAAAACCACAAUUGGAAAUGUUUGCCGAGCAUAGAGGUUUACCUUCAAGCAUAAGAAACAGCUUCUUGGCAAGACCACUCAGGAAGGCCUCCAGAUCGUUUUUCUUCCCAGUCAACUUACUGACUUGGUCGGUCAGGGCAGCUUUAUUAGUUUUUAGUCGACUGACCUCCUUGUUGGCGAUCCCAAGAGCAGCUUUCAGAUUGGUAUUGUCUUGUUCAAGCUUGGUGACUGAAGCUAACUUCUCGUCAGCAAGCUUGAUCUUCUCAGCUAGUUCGAGGUCUUUCUUCUGCUUGGACUCCCUUACCUUACCUGCAAGUUACAGCAAGAUCAGAUUUUGAAACAAGCAAGGGGAAAAGCAGUCGUCAGGGUCUCACCAAACAUACCUUCGGUCUCCUCCUUUGCCUUCGUCAGCUUCUCCUGAACCAGCUUCAAGCUCAGCUCGAGUUGAGUGCGCUUGUUUUCCAGCUCAGAGUAGCGAGCCACAAGAUCACAGGAGUUCUGCGAAGAACCAAUCGACUAAAUGUCAAAUAUAAUUCACUUCCGAGUGAAAAAGGAAAAAAACACACGUUUCUAAGACUACAGCCGAAUACAAGCAUUCGACCGUAGUCUCGGGGACUACACCCAGUGGGUGCACUCAGCGUGCCCCCACUAAUCCUGUUGAAGAUAAAGUCGACCAGUCGACCUCAAAAAAAAAGAGAGAUGUAUUCUUUAAGACUGUGAUCAACUGCAAGCAGUCGACCACAGUCUCGGGGACUACACCCAGUGGGUGCACUCAGCGUGCCCCCACCGGUUUGUGAAAUCCAGUCGACAUAGUCGACUGACAGAAAAAUUGACAUCAUAAAGCCUAAGGCCGACUGCCAGCAGUCGACCUUAGCCUUGGGGACUACACCCAGCGGGUGCACUCAGCGUGCCCCCGCUAACACGGAGUUUAAUCGACACACUCGACAUAGUCGACUGACAGAAAGAUUGACAUCAUAAAGCCUAAGGCCGACUGCCAGCAGUCGACCUUAGCCUUGGGGACUACACCCAGCGGGUGCACUCAGCGUGCCCCCGCUAACACGGAGUUUAAUCGACACACCCAGUGGGUGACUACUAUAAAUUCCGGAAAGGAAAAGUUUUUGGUAGCAUAUCCAACAGAACAAACGCUGGUCGACUGACCUGAACAUUGCUUUGGAGGGCAGAACUGGCGUCAUAAGCUGCCUGGCUCGCAUCCCGGAUGGUCUUCAACUGCUCCAUCAUGAUUCCCGCCUGGCGUAUUGCCUCCUUCGCCGCGCCAGCUUGGUCCUCUGGGACGUGGUGCGUCGUGAAGAGGGAGGGCUGCUGAGCACUCGUCAAUGGAUCUGCGAAGGACACCGUGUGUCGAGUGGUGUUCUCUUCCUCCGCAAUCAGAAUCUCAGGCGCCGUCACAUCCUGGGGCACCUUGCUGGCAGACGCUUUCCUACUCCUUCUGCGUUUCAGCGGUUCCUCAUCCUCAUCAUCAUCAGGGAGAUUGAUAACAACAUUGGGUGGAGCUACGGAGAAGAAUCAGGAUCAGAGAUCGCGAGUCAGUCGACUAAGAACGGCGUUAAGAAUACAGUACCUGGUUUUGAAGUUGCUGCGUCCUCCAUCUCAUGGUCAUCAGCCCGGGCUGAGGUUUCGGAAGUAGCAGCACUGCAACUCCAAAGGAUCAGUCGACUAACUUCAGCGUCGACCAGAGACAAAGUUCACACAAAAUAAGAAGAUUCAAGCAGCACGAUUACCCUGAUAUGGUGGGGAUGUACACCUUCAUCUUCCGCAGGAGCUUGAUCGGCUUCGACGAGGCCGCCCUGGGCUGCUUCGACGCCUUUUCAGUCGGCACUGGAGAGGUGGUCCGAGGGCGUUUGGUCGACUGAGCGGCGGUCGCAACCCCCUUACCACGUUCAGUCGAAGGGUCAUGGACAAGCUUCGACCGCCUUUCCGAGCGCGGUGGUACGACCUCCUCCUCCUCUUCCUCCUCGUCUUCAACGUCAUCUUCAUCACCGUCAUCAUCAUCAUCGUCAUCAUCAUCCUCUGCAACGUAAGAGUCCCAUUCCUCCUCUUCCUGGCUCUCGCCUCCACUCGCCUCACCCUCCUCAGUCGGAGCUUGUGCCCCAUUGGGCAUCGAGUACAGCUCGAUGAGGGCCUAGCAGAUAUCAAGACAAGGAUCAAUCGACCAGUCAACAGGAUAAACAGAAAUGAAUGUGACAAGAACACAGUGGAGAGCAGAGCAAACGUACCUUGUUUGGAUCGCUGUUGUGGUCGAGUGGAGGAAUCCUUCUGGCUCCGCGUGGGUUAUCCUUGUUUCCGGUAACGGCUACCAUCCAUCUUUCCAGAGUGACAUCGUCGACUGCCUCUGGAUGGACUCGAGUCUCGUCUUCAGUCCCACAGUACAACCACAUGCAGUGGCUCCGGAACUGAAGGGGCUGGAUGCGACGCCUAAGGAAGACCUCCAGGAGAUCCAUGCCCGUCACUCCCUCCCGAACCAGCUGCACUACGCGCUCCAUCAACAUCUUCACGUCAGCUUUCUCCUCCGGAAUCAACUUCAGAGAAGAGGGCUUGUUCACUCGGUCCAUGGUAAACUGAGGGAGUCCACUCGACUGCCCCGGCGUCGACUGGUCCUGGCAGUAGAACCAAGUCGACUGCCAGCCUCUGACUGACUCGGGAAAGGUCAUGGGCGGGAAGGUGCUCUUAUUCCUCACCUGGAUGCCCAGACCCCCACACAUUUGGACGACUCGGGUCCUUUCAUCGCCUGGGCUCGCCUUCUUCACGGUCUGAGAGCGACACGUGAAUAUAUGCUUGAACAAACCCCAGUGCGGUCGACAGCCCAGGAAACCCUCACACAUAGACACGAACGCGGCAAGAUAGGCGAUAGAAUUUGGGGUAAAGUGGUGGAGCUGCGCUCCAAAGAAGUUCAAGAAGCCACGGAAGAAAAUACUCGGCGGCAAAGAAAAUCCACGAUCAACAUGGGUGGCCAAGAGCACACACUCACCCUCUUCUGGCUGGGGCUGCCACUCCUUCCCCGGAAGCCUCGCAGCUCCAUGAGGGAUCAAGCCCUCGUUGGCCAUGUCGAGGAGGUCUUUCUCUGUGAUGGUCGACUGGAUCCAGUCUCCUUGGACGCAGCCCUUCGGCAGGCGGGAUCUGGACGAGGACCCGCCGCGGCUGGUAGAUCUCCCCUUUGCCUUCUCCGACGCCGACGCCUUCUUCGCACGUUCCAGUGCCGCCGUCUUCUCCUUGGCCAUGGUUGCCGGCAAGAUGCGCGAAGGGAAGUUGUGCGGGGGCGAGAGCGAGCGCGCUGGACGGGGACGAAGGGAGCAGAGAGAGAGAGAGAAUGCUGAGGCACAGUACAAAAAUCCUCGCCGGGCGCAUUUAUAAGGUCCCUUCCGAGUGGAUGACAGGUGGGCCCGGUCGAUCUAAUCAUAUCCAGGAACAGUUAUGCAGACGGGAUACGUGGCGGAGAAAGCGCGCGGAGAUCGAGGCGUCUAUGUCCCGUCCCAUCCGAACGCCGCGGUCCGCUCUGCUUCGCGCGCGUCCCCAAAUUUCGCAUCCCGCGGAAUCCGCGAACGGCAGAUCGAUCUGUCAGACGCAGGGUUUCCCGCGAUCUGUCGCUCGGAGAUCGUCGAAGCCCGAAAGAUCACUCGACGAAAGAAGAGAAUGGAUCGAGUCGACUGGAGACAAGUUGCUCACUACCGACGAAGAGAUUCUUUGGUCCAGAACAACGCACGACCAGUGUGCAAAGGUUAAUCGGAAACAACAUCAACUCCUUCCUCACUCGAAGCCUCAAUCCAUUCGGGGGCUAAUGAUGGGGUCAUGUACCUAGGGUAGGGUCAUGGACCUGGUCUAAGUGCCUUGCCCAAGGACACCCUUAGAAGAGGUCGCCUUCCAGUCGACCAACGAGGGACUCACUCGACUGACUUAAAGGACUCGACCAUGAAGACUCACUCGACCACCAGGAGGUCAAGAGGCACUCUGCACUGCAACGGCCUAUAAUUAAGUAGGCUUUAUGAUAGUAAAGACACUUUAUAUGGGGCGUUACCAGUAACGCCCCAGACUUAACUCACCUUAAACCCUCUCCUACGUGGGCUGGCUGGGGUCCUGGCGCACUCUAUAUAAGCCACCCCCCUCCACAGGUAGAAGGGUUCGGCAUCUUGUAACUCAUAUACUCAUAAUCCACUCGACCGCCUCCGGGCUCCGAGACGUAGGGCUAUUACUUCUUCCGAGAAGGGCCUGAACUCGUACAUCUCUUGUGUUUACAACCUCUCCAUAGCUAGGACCUUGCCUCUCCAUACCUACCCCCCACUCUACUGUCAGGCUUAGAACCACGACAAUGUGUUUGAGAAUAAAACACAACACCCCAUACAAAAACUUCCUUCAAAAAGGAUGUCUGAGAUCUCGUUCAUAAAGAAGAUGAAUUCUGGUCGGAUUCGUUCUCGCGCAGAAAAUAGAUCCAAAAAGUGAUGCACUAAUCGGAAGUUUCCCGGAGCUCGGACGGUCGGAUCGAGCUGAAUUUUUGGCAGGUGGUAGAUAUGGGAAUUCCGCAGCAAAUCAACGGUUGGACCUUCCAAAGGACAUCCGAGCUAGAUGCUGGAUACCAUGCUCUAAACUUGUCCAGAUUCUCGUCCAGAUUCAACAUGGCUCCGGUAUAUCGGAGAUUGCCGGAGAUUCCUCCAUCGGAACUCGACGGAAUUUUUGCAGAGUUGUUUUAGACAUACUUCCGCAUAAUUCCACCGAAGUAAUCGUUUAGGCGACACUCGAGGAGGCGGUAGCGACGGAUACAAGUUUGCUGUCCAGAAAAACAGCACGGCCGCCUGAGGGCAAUGUUGACGUAGAGCCCCAGAACUCCAUGGAUGACUCCUCCAUGAUCUUGAUAGAGGUCGGAGUUGGUGUUGAUGAAGGCCCUCAUCCGAACAUGACGAUUGGAGGUAGGAUGCAGUCCUCGGUCAAGCCAAGGUGACCAGUCGAGCUGGUGACGAAGAAGCCGACGUCGCAGUUGACCUGCAGUCGAGCCAUUGAUCCUUUCGCCGAUCACACAGUGGAACUCUCAAUGAAAGCACCAAUGUCGGUGUCAAAACCGGCAGAUCUCGGGUAGGGGGUCCCAAGCAGUGCGUCUUAGGAUCAAUGGUAACAGGAGGCAAGGGACACAAUGUUUACCUAGGUUCGGGCCCUCUCGAUGGAGGUAAAACCCUACUCCUGCUUGAUUAAUAUUGAUGAUAGGGAUAGUACAAGAGUUGAUCUACCACGAGAUCAGAGAGGGCUAAACCCUAGAAGCUAGCCUAUGGUAUGAUUGUUGUUGUUGGAUCUAUCGACUAGUCUAGCCUCGGUUUAUAUAAUGCACCAGAGGCCUAGGAUAACAAGAGUCCUAGCCGAAUACGCCAGUGGGGAGGAGUCCUUGUCUUGAUCGCCAAGUCUUGUGGAAUCUUCCUUGUAUGCGGCAGCUGUCCAAACUGGCCCAUGAGUAUACGGCCAUGGGGGUCCUCGGCCCAAUCUAACAGAUCGGGAGAUGACGUGGUGAGUACCCCCUAGUCCAGGACACCGUCACCUUCCAUUUGCCCCUUUCCUCCCGCAAUUCUCCCUCCCAUUCUCCCUCCCGCUUGCCUACCAGCCGGCCGUCAUGCCGCCGAAGAAGUACGCCGUCCCCCGCGCCGUGGCAACUGCUACCGCCUCCGUCGCCCAGCCGAAGCAGAGGAAGCCGAGGGCGCCGCCGUCCAAGCUGCCGGGCAUGUCGAACGCCGACUGGAGGGUGGAAGUACAGCGAGGGAGGCCACGCACAGUACGCGCCCUGGGGGUCGCCGGGCUACGCUGACGGGUACGCACACGGUGGGUUCAACCCCAACGUUGCCUUCCCCAUGGCCACCCGGCCCAGUGCACGCCCUCGCCCGCCUUCGCCGGCGUGGAGUACCCUUCAUACAACUACUCACCGACGCGGCCACAGCUCGCGUGCAGGAGUACAUCCAGCACUGCCUCGCCGACGCAUAGGUCCGGGCCGCCCUUCGUGAAGAGAAGACCAAGGCGCGUUGGUCGGCAUUGAUGUUGACCAGUGCCGUCAAGCUCGACCUACUCCGGACCAACGUCGCCGCGAAGAAGAGGAACACCGACCUGGCUUUCCUGCUCGGCAGGGCGGACAUGCUCCAGAGCACCGACGAGGCGGUCAAGGCGUGGUACAGGGCGCAUGUUGGCCUCAUCCUGGACCAGCUUCCCUCGGCGACGCUGCCCACGUCCACGCCGCCCACACCCACGACGCCCACGCACACGCUGUCGCCGCCGCCAAGCCCGACCGCUGAUGAUGCCGAGAUUGCCCGCAGCACAGAAGCCUCGCCGCUAAGCACAGAGGCCCCGUCAAGCCCGCGCACGCCGACUACGGCGACACCGGAGGCCGACCUCCCCGCCUGAUGCGCGCUUCCGUCCUUUUUCUGAUGCCGAGACUGCCCCUUUUUUUGUACGNNNNNNNNNNNNNNNNNNNNNNNNNNNNNNNNNNNNNNNNNNNNNNNNNNNNNNNNNNNNNNNNNNNNNNNNNNNNNNNNNNNNNNNNNNNNNNNNNNNNNNNNNNNNNNNNNNNNNNNNNNNNNNNNNNNNNNNNNNNNNNNNNNNNNNNNNNNNNNNNNNNNNNNNNNNNNNNNNNNNNNNNNNNNNNNNNNNNNNNNNNNNNNNNNNNNNNNNNNNNNNNNNNNNNNNNNNNNNNNNNNNNNNNNNNNNNNNNNNNNNNNNNNNNNNNUGUACGCCGAACAUAACUCAUCCGGCCGCCGAUCUAGGCCGCUUGAUCGCCGGAUUGUGGCGUCUAUUUUGGGCGCGGGAACGACUAUGUUUGAAGUUUGCCGUGGCUUGGGGGGGGAGGGGGGGAGGGGGGGCUGGGGGCGUGACUGGGAGUUAGGCCGGCCCCAAGGGCCGAACUAGCGCCGGCUCGCCCCCAGGCUGCGGUUUUUCUGCGCCCUGGGGGGCCGAACGGCUGGAGAUCGAUGCUCUUAGUCACUCCCAAUCACAGCACAUCAGGUUAAUUUGCGGUUGAUGUAGACACGUUCAGAAGGAUUUUUCGUGAAAUGUACGCAACGAAGUUUUAGGGAGAACGCCCAGAUAACAGCUCACCAUGCAUAUAUUGCAACUUCAGUAUAUUUUAUAACUGAACAAAGGUUUGGCCUCUUUUAUUAUUCCACGGCAACAUGGUCGUGGUCGUGUAGUUGCUCUGCUCGUCGUCCAGGCCAGGAUCACUGUCUCAUUUCGCUGUAAGUACGUGUGUCCAGCCGAGUAAUCUAGCUAGCUCUAGCUAGUUUUUCAUGCUCGCUAAGCCUGAUUGCAGGAGUUGGUUUCUCUAGCUUCGUGCGGUCCCUAGAAUAUACUCCGCGGGCUGCAUGAGAAAGAUUGGGUCUACGCCAACGAAAUUCCAACCAAGGCCGGCGUGUCGUAGUCCUGAGACCUACCAUUCCCAAAAAUGUCGUCUAAGAAAUAUAAUGUCUGGAUUAUCCAACAAGCGAGAGAAAUGGAAAAGGACAGGGUGUGCACGCCAAAAUCCACUCCAUUUUGCACGUGUCACACAUUUGCUUUGGGUCUCGGGUAAUCACAGCUCCUUUUAUAGCUGCUCGGACCACGGGAAGUGCCGUUCUGAACCCGCCUCAUCUACGGCGUGGAAGACUUUAUGAUUCCAAUCACUAGAAAAACUAGUUAGAGUAUAGAUAUUUUCUGCAAUUUACUCUGAGUCAAUUGGCCUGUAUACCUACAUGUGCCCAACCUGCACCGAAUAGACUUGACGAAGACUUUCUAAUAGAACACAGCCAUCCGUUUCACACGGGAACCAGUACUGUGUGUCGUAACUUUUAUUUUUAUCGGCUUUAUUCAAGAGACCCCAUGUCAUCCAAUCAUAAACACACAUUCGUACCGUCAGUCUCAACAUGGCAAGAAAUAAGACAAACUAUUUUUUUUGUCACCCCUAGUGUCAUAGUAGCAGUCACAAUCACAAGUACUAGUAAUCCUUAAUGACGUGCCAUUAAAGAGGCUUAGAUUGACAUGCAUGCCGGUAAAGAUUGUGAGAAUACCAGUUACAACAUCGCCGUGGAAUCCUUAGUAUGAAAUCUCUCUGGUAAACAAGCCGAGCACCACAUCGCGUCGAUCUGCUGCGUCGGCGAGCUACCUUCUCACCUCAUUAGAUCCCUUUCCUCCUCUGAGACCCACUCACCUCGAGGCACCCGCCAUGCCUGCUUAGAACUACAGCCAACGGCUGGGGAUGAUACAAGCAGGGGCAACCAGUGACCACCGGAGUUGCCACAGCUUUCACCAGUGGCGUGAUGGCACCGAGUUGAAGACCAUGCCCUUGUGGUGGUGGGGGCAGUUUCCAGCGGUGCUACAACCGCGGGGUACUGAUGCUGCAACUGGUAGCACGAGUUGUAAGGACCGGCGUCAGAAUUUGCUACCUGGAGGCUAACAGUAAUGGAGAUGACGGGGGUCGGAAGCCGUGCUGCUACAACUAGCAUCCAACGUUGCUGGAACUGCAGCCGCCAUUUGCUACAACCGGGAAUCAUGCAACACGGGAGAGGAUGAUACCAGGUGAUGGAAUCAGCGUCACCCCGGGCGGCGGCAAAAAGCUGCAACCAUUUGUUAGUAAAGCUUCAACCUCCGGAUGAAUUUGCUGGAACCAGCUGCUGGGCAUGACACAAGCAGGGGCAAUUUUUGCUGCAAAGCCGACGAGGUAGAUUUUUUUGCUAGAAACAUGUUCUUUUUUUUUUGCCGGAACCAGUCCUAAUUUUUGCUACCUUGUUUUUUUAUUUUGCUAGAACCAUCCUCAGAAUUUGCUACCACCAUCUUUUGAUUUUGUUGGCACCAGCAAAAUUUUCGCUUCAAUCGACUACUGGAGAUUUUUGUUGAUUUAGUUGUUUCACUAUAUGUGGCCAAUUCAUUUGCUACAAUCGGCUUUUUAAAAGCUUCAACCAGAGAAUGGCGAGCUGGUGAAGGCAAGCGACGUCAAUGGGGAUGACGACGGAGAUGCAUGGGGUGAAGACGAGGGCUAUAUUAACGGGGGUGAAGAUGGAGCGGCAUCAAGGAAACAACCCGAGCAGGGGCAAUUAUGACCAACGGGGAUGAGGGCGACGAGCACACCCGGCAGCACGGGUGGCAGAGAGAGGACGUCCAAACGAGGGGGCGACCCCCGGUGGCAGGAGGACGGGCCGCCAUAGGGGCGGUGGCUGUGGCGCCCACACUGUGCGCGUGUUGUUGAUUUAACGUGGAAUGAAGAGAAAGUGGUGGGAGGAAGAUGAUGCAAUCGUAGGGUUAAUGAGGUCCAAUCAAGACACUCGCGCGGUGACAGGCGCCUAUCAGUGGCUUAAACUUCAGUCAUAUUGUCCCGUAAUGAAAAUUCGCCGGUCCGUGCUCUCUGGUCUAUUAACCAGCCAAACAUGUCGUCUACGAGGUAAAGUUGUCGCCGCCUUCACUAAGGUGUGUGCUUCGACGUUGAUGCUUCCCUUCUCGUGGACAGCUUCCACAGAAUCAAUGGACUUCAUAGGGCUCAGGAUCUCAUGAAUAAUAGCAGCCGAUGGUCUCAAAGAAACACCUCUCGGAUGAUUUACUGUAGCCAUAGCCCAUACAAUAUGUAGCGAUGAUGACCUUGUACCAAGUUAGAUCAAGAGCUAAACAUAGAACCUCGUUGAUGGCCGUUGCUUCUAGUAUCUUUGGGCCAACUAUACAUCUCAGGAAUAGAUAUAGCAGAUGCUCAACCUCCAAUGUAAUUGCCCAUCUAAUCUCGGCUAAUAGCAUCUAGGGCUCCUCAAUUCUGCCCUACGACUGACAGCAGCAUCCACAUGUAUCUUUACUACUCCUGCUGGUGGAGCUGUCCAUUUUACAUUUGGUUCAGGUUCAGGAACAUGCACACGUCCUUGUGGCCUUUUUGUCACUUGAGCAAGAUAUCCAAGAUAAUUUGUGAUAGAAGUGUAAGUUCUCAGCGGUGACUGAACUUCUCUUCAUGUAUUAUUUUCCUUUCCGCCAACCAAAUCGCCCACAAAGUAACAAGUAAUUUCACAAACUCCUCAUCCUUAAUCGAGUCCUGAAUUUCUUUCAUCCAUAACCUAGCAUCAUUAUGCCUGAAAACCACAUUUAGUCGUGUUUUUUAUCGAGUUCUUUUACAGUGCAUCUAAAUAAUCUCAGCCUUUCAUUUCACUCCAUUCAAUGGUCUAGAUCGACCAAUACUACCACACAAAAUCAGAAGUAUUUUUUGUUCAAGGGCUAAAAUUGGAAGAAACCCAAAACAAAUACCAGAAAUGUACUUGCAGAAGCCAGCAUGUUUUCUUCUCCUCUUCUGACCUGACGACAUUCAUCCAUUUUCCGGCAAAAAUGAGAUAGCCAAACUAACUUCUUUGGUUGAUUGAUCAUGUCCAAAUGCACUAGACGAGUACGUUAUCGGCCGAUUGUUCUCCGACGAUCAAACCGGCGGCUGCAGCUGCUGCACAAAAGCAAGACAGGCACGCCGGUCUAAUUUCGCCGGAACACGUCAAAUGAUGCGUCCUAGUAAUGCUAAGAGCAUCUCCAGCCGUUGGCCCCCCGGGGGCGCGUAAAAGCGCUGCCUGAGGCCGAGCCAGUGCAAAAAUCGGCCUGGGGGAAGUGGGUUGCUAGUCGCCCACCCCAGGGGCCGCCCCCAGUCGCCGCCAAAGUUUAAAAUAAAAUAAAAAUAUUUGGCAAAGUUCCGCUGAACUCGGCUAAAAUUCGGCAAACUUGGCAUAUAUUAGACAUGUUAGACAAGUUACAUAGCUAAUUUAAUUGAAAAAGGCCGAAACUACAACUAAGGGGCGAAGAAGUCGCUGAACGCGGCGUAGUCGUCGCCGUCGGCGGUGGCGGCCGCCUUCUCCUCCUUGACGCGGCCGCCCAGCUGGAACUCUGCCCGGCGUCGCCAUGGCGAGCCGGUGGCGGUGGCGGAGCGUCAUCGCCGUCGCUGUUGUCAAGGACGAUGCCGCCUCCUUCGUCGCAGCCCCGGCGGCGCUGUUCGUAGGCGCUGCAUGGCGGCGCACUGGCACUCCAUCUCCAUCUUGAGAUAGUCCUUGCACGCCCAUUUCAGGGCCGCCUCCUCGUCGAGCUCCACGUCGCCGUGCUUCGUCUUCACAGCGGGGAGCCCCGGCUCCGUCUUUGGUUUGACGAAGCGCGGAGGAGCCGCCGAGGAGGCGCGCCGGCCGCCCUCAUUUAUGACGAUGCCGGCGCUGCGACUGCGCUGGCCGAGCGGCGUCUCCGCUGCGGGCUCGGCCUUGAUGCUGAGCAACGCCGGCGAGCCGGAGGAGUGAGAAGAAGAACGGGAGGAGGAGUGCGAGGAGGAGGAAGUCGAGAAGGUGCCGAACCUCCUGGGCAUCCAUUGCCCGCCGCGCUGGUGGUGGACCGUGGCGGCCACCGUGGGAGGGUAUGCCAGCGGCGGUUCGUUGCCGCCCUCGAGGUAAGACAACAUGCCGCCGAGCGUGCGGCCGGGGCGCCCCACCACACGCGGCGCCCCUUGCUGUUCUUGACGCCGCUCUCCACCGGCGUCCCGUUGGUGGACGCCAGCCUCUGCUCCUGGCGGCGCUAGAAGUACGACACCCACGCCGUGUGGUUGUGGGCGGUGUACUGGGGAAUUUUGCUUGAGCAUGAAGUGACACAUUUCACUGUUUGACUUUGAAACUAUUGUUUUAAAAAACAAUAAUUAUUUAGUAACACUAAUAUUUCUUGAAUAAUUAGUUUGACCAUUGUUUGACCCAAGUUUGACCAGAUUUGACCAAAAUUCAAAAUAACUGAAAUAAUUAUUUAGUAACACUAAUAUUCUAGAAUAAUUAGUUUAACCAUUGUUUGACCACAGUUUGAAUUUUUUUGAUUUUUUCCACUCUAGAUCUUAAAAGCCCCGUAACUUAUUUUCUGUUAGGUUUUUGAGGAUUUUGAAAAUGUUUAACGGGGUUCCCACGGGAGAGGGAGAGCUCGGCGGCGGUCAAUGGGCGGCUAGGGCCGUUUUUUCGGCGCCGACGUAAAAAAAUCGCCUGGGGAAGCCGUGUUGGGGGCGCGGCUAGAGAUUCUCUAAGUUGCCUAUAGAGGAAGCGGAACUCCUAGCAGACAUGAGCUAUCGUCUCGCGAUGUACUCAUGCUUCAGCCACUACUGGAAAAGUACUUAUAGGUGAACCCAAAUGAGUGACAGGCGAUGUCAGACACCCGCCACAGCUAUUUUGAAAAACUAGCAAUGGCGGGUGCUAAAAAGCGCUCGCCACAGCUGCGUAACAGUGCCGGGCAGGCCAGAGGACCCACCACAUAUGUACGUUUCUAAUUUCUUCAUGGCCGAGAAGUAGCUCUGGCGAACAAAAGAUCCUGCCCGUUACUGGUCCUGCCCCCAGCAGUGGCGAGCAACCAUAAGCGACCACCACAGCUAUAUUUCGGUACCCACGCGCCAAACUAUUUUACAAAAUUUCAGAGUGUGCGGUGCCGGGCACUGUCAUGCGCCCACCACAUCUAUAUUUGGUCACACUGUUGCCUACCACGCAUAUAUAGCAGUGGCGGGCUCUACUCGGCGCCCGACGCUACUAUACAUGACAUUAUCGACCACAUCCCCAGCCGCAUUACUUAGGGUCUAAUUUCAAACAUAAACAUCUCAUUCUCCCCUAUGUCUCGCCGUCGAAAGCAUUGUGGCGUCUUUCGUCGCCACAGGCGAGGUCGCCGUCCGCCGCCUCGAAUGACCCCAAGGACCCAAUCUUCCCCGUCGCCUGCGACGUCCGUCCCCGCCUCAAAGUUUAUCGGCGUUGCCAGGCAAUGCUAGCUCCAUAUACUUCACCGUGAUCGUCGCCCGCGCUUUCCUCCGCAUCCAACGUUGUCCUCAUCUCCGUCGAACUCGCCGUCCGCCGAAGCCUCUUCCAUCAACCUUGGCCUCGUCCUACCCGCCAUCCGACUCUGGCCCGCUAAGCACACCUCCCUUCUCUCUGUUAAUGAUGAUUUUAGUUGUUCUCAUUAUCAUAUUUGUAGAUCUGCAACAGUUUAUUGGUGUUGUUAAAAAAAUUUAUAUGAUGUACCAUUGAAUCUGAGUAAGUAGACAUCUUAAAUUUGAGAUUUUACACUUUCUCAUUGUUGUACUUGUAGAUCUGCAAUAUUUUGUUAGUGUAGUCAAAAUUUGUUAUAGGAUGUACCACUGAAUCUUCAUAAGUAGACAACAUCUUAAAUUUGAAUGGGUGUCUAGAGGACUAUGUACUACAUAUGGAUGAAUAUAUAGUACAAUAUCAUUUUUAUGAAGCAAGUAUUCAUAAUAACUGCUAAUGUUUCCACGAAGCAUGGAUUAUGUUCCGUUUCUCUUAAUUUCUGGCACUAAAUAUAUCUAAUUUCCAUCAAAGGUCAUACCAAUUUUUUCUGUAUUUUUUUUAUGGAUUAGAUAAGCACGAAGACAUCUAAAUGUUUUAUCUAAAUGUCAACUUGUUUAAUGCAAUUUAGAUGGAGACGCCAAGACGCGUCGCCAGGACUCCUACACCCAUAGACGGAAUUCCUACUGCCGUAGACAUCAUCACGAGGGUGGCCCAGUACACGGAGAUCGUGCUCGCCUAUGUCGAGAGUGCUCGAGCAGCCACCUUGAGUGCUCAGUCAUAUUCCGAGAACGUCAGAACAGCCGCCGAGAGCGCCAGAGCAGGCAUUGAAGGUGCGGGAGCAGCCGCCGAGAGUGCAUGAGGAACCUUCAAAGCUGCGAGGACCGCCCAAGCCGAGAUCACGAAGAUGAUGUAAGUUGAGGAUAUCUCAUGAUGGAGCUGAACUUUUACUUCUGAACAACUAGUGCACUGCCUGCAUGUGAUCUAUAUGAUUGAUGCAUGUGAACUUAAAUUCUAAGUCGCUAAGAUUGAGCUAAAUUUUUUGCCUUCGAACUACUAGUGACUUGCAGCAUGAUCAUUAGUAUCAUCUAUGAUGCUAUGAAUAUUAUUAUAUGACUUUGCUCUGUGAUUGAAUAACUAUGAAAUUGACCUGUUAGCUUAUUUAUAUAUUUAACUAUGAAUUGAAACUGGUAUAUGGUGUACACCAGGAGGAAUCCAGAAGUUUAUGAUUCAUGGGAGAUAUGCAAGGAGCAAGUACAUGGUUACCCGAACAACGGCUAUAAAGGAUAUAUGACUAAAAAAGAAGAAGAGGAUCGUUACACCAACUACAUCCUAUAUAGCUCUAUUAUAUAUUACUAAAAAAACGCAAAGUAAAACGAAGCAGAGGAAUGUUACACCAACUACAAAGCCACUAAAAAAAAACUACAUCCGCAAAGAGAAAAUCAACUCUGAAGUAUGCAAGACCCUGUGGACAAGUGAACGAGUAAAGAAUUUGAUUAUCUUUAUCCAGUUCAUUAUCAAUAUUGUGGUGUUGUUAUCAUGAGUUCUUGUAUGUAUGUAACAUGUGGAAUUCUUCACUCAGAAGGGUAGAUAGGGGAGGAAGUGGAAGGUAGGAUCGGUAUGCAGUCCACGACCACGAGUGACCCGUCUU
RNAcentral lists this long non-coding RNA (56894 nucleotides) under Triticum aestivum (bread wheat). Its description in RNAcentral is "long non-coding RNA (TAES_LNC011188)". Lineage: Eukaryota; Viridiplantae; Streptophyta; Magnoliopsida; Poales; Poaceae. The record is from RNAcentral.